UUUUAAAAAAAAAGCUUCAAUUACAACGGUUCAAACAAAAAUCGUUGUGGAAAGUUGUAAAAUAAAAUUAGAAAAUCACACCCUAAACCACAACGCUUAAAAACCCCUUUUGACAACGAUGACGUAAUAACCAUUGUAGAAGAAACAAUUACAAUGAUUUCGGAGCCAACCAUUGUGUAUUCAACGUCGUCUUUUUGAAUAUUUGUAGUAGUGCUAGUAAUAUGUAACUAUAAGUAAAGUUGAAAAUUUAAAGAACAAAAGAUGAUGAAGAAGUAAUUGGUUAAUUAACAAGCUUAUACUGAUUCUCGAUCGAUGAAAAGGUUGUGGACCUAUUGGUACAAUGAAAGAAAACAAGAAAAAGCUAGCUAGACGGCCUGUAGAGAGGUAUAGCUCUAAACAGUAAAGCUGUAAAGAUAUCAUUACAAGGUCCAGAAAAUUAUGGGAGAAUUUUCCACGUUGUUUGUCCUACUUUCAGAUCAGUAAGAGAUCUCAGACAUGCACAUAUAGCUAGUAAUGUUUUUGUUUAUAAUAUUUUGCUGGAAUUUUUUUUUAGUACAAACGAUUAGGGGAAAUGAACUUAUACAAAUAUUUAUUAGAUGUGUGUAGGUUUUAAAUCUUUGUUCAUAUGAGUGGAGAUAGAAAAACUCAACCAAUUACGCUAUAACCCGCUGAGAAUUUUGCUGGAUAUUUACAUAUGUGAGAUUUGAGAACCUUAAGGGCAUGUUUGGCAGGCUGGACUAAUCUGGACAGUGUUAAAUAACAUUUUAAAACCCACGUUUGGUGAAAGAGGGACUAACAUAAAUAGGAUUGUAUAGUCCACUGAUGAAAAAAUCACCGGACUCGCUCGUCCAAUACUGCGAGGAUGAAAAGCAGUUCGCAAAAUAGCGAGCGUGCUAUUUUGAAACAUCGAGUUCAACCCACACAGCGACCUUCAUGAGCUGCUCCUGGUUGAUGAGGAUCCUCCUCGUUCAUGUCGGGCAAGAUGGCGGUGAGUAGAUCCUCGAAUUCGAUGGUGCCGUUUCCGUUAGCAACAAGGAUGUGGAGCUAGUCGCCGGUGGGCUUGAGGUUGGGAAAGACCUCCAUACCUGCCGAUCUGAGUACAGAAAUGCUUGUGUAAGAAAAUGGGUCGACUAUUCCACUGAUUGCGAUGAUACCAAUCCCUCAUAUCCCUUUUAUGAUUUUGAGAAGAAGGAAUUACAAAAACAAAGCAAGCAGGGACCUUAUUAUGGUUACUGGAUUCGCAGGGUAUGCUACCAGGAAGAAGGAAGGGAUCAAAAAGAUCCCAAUUGUGUUUUGGUAUUUUUUUAAUUUUAAUUUUGUGGUGUGGUUUGUCAAAAGUUGUGGUGUGGGGUUAGUUGGGUUUAUUCUAAUUUUCUCUUUGGAAAUCUGGAAAGAAAGACACAGCCAGAGAGAGAGGAAGACAGACGGGAAAGAAAGGCAGAAGGAGAGGGAGGAAGGAAGAAGGAAAGAACGAGAUAAUGGUUUUUUUAUUUUUUAAAUAAAAAAUUAAUUUAAAAAAAAAUUCACACAUCAACCCCAAUUAAAUAUCCCUAAUUAAAUAUAAAUAUUUUUUAAGUCAAAAUAUUCAAUUAAAUUUAAAUAUUACAAGAAUUAUUUUUUAGUCCGACACAGCACCAAACAUAGGUCUUCACUAUUUUACAAUCUAGCUUCUUAGUCCGACACAGCACCAAACGUAGGUCAGUACUUAAUCCAGCUUAGUCCAAUCCGAAUUAAUCCAAGACAGUCUUAGGAUUUAAUCCAGUUCAUGACAGUCCGUCGUACCAAACGACCCCUAAGUACUAGAGUCAGUCGAAUAUUUGUGAGGUAACCAUGUGGUCAACUGGUCAUCACUUUUUUGUUUCUUUCUGGAGUCAGUCGAAUAUUUGUGAGGUAACCAUGUGGUCAACUGGUCACCACUUUUUUGUUUGUUUCUCUGACAUGUGCGAUUUGGUGAAGAUAUGUUAGAUGGCAAACACAAACCAGAUCUUAUAUUUUUGUAUUUGGAACAUCGACAAAAUAAUUAACAAGCGACAGCCUGCAGCCAGUAUGAGCAGUGACUCUAUAUCAUGUGGGAUUCUCAGUAAGGCGCGGAUCCAAAUCUAACACAGUACUUUCACAUGAUGUUCAAGUACAUAUUGUUUGCUUCUGCUGAUUAAAUAGUCGAGUUGAAGUCGGCAAUUAGCAAGUGGUAUUGUGUAUAUUUCUCUAAUCAUUAAUCUAUAUAUAGACCAAAAUGAAAAAACAACUAUACUUUAUUUUUAAACUCUUUGUAUUAAUUAUAACUUGGGCGAAUCUGUAUCGACAUCAAUAUCGAACCAUCAAUAGCAUGAUAAAUAAUCGACAUAACGUGUCGAUAUGAAUCCCACCUCAGCUAAAUCAUGAGUGCAGAGCAUAUGCACAAAUAAUUAAUUAGAGCUAGACUUCCUAAAUCAUGCAUGAACAUGUUUAAUUAACAGUGAUUGGCCUGCAGGUUUCACAAAACAUCUGUGGCUAUAGAAUGAAGUACGUUGCAUCUAUAAAAGUCGUAUGUGUAUUUUCAAGGCGAUAUCGAUUGCAUGGAUGGUUGUGAAUAAAAGAGGACCAAAAAUAUCAAGAUAUACAUACACCUGCAUAUAUAUAUAUAUAUAUAUAGAAAUGUAUAUAUAAUAUCUAGAGCCACCUGUGUGUGUGGAGUGGACAUGAGGAGAGAGCUCGAGAGAGCGUGCAUGGACUGCUGAUUCCAUGCUUGGAAUGUGCAAUGCAGCCACCUUCCAUGAGUUUAGCUCACGUAGCGGGCCCUCACCUGCCUUUUAGCACAAAUGUGUGGAGCUACCUUAUUAUAUAUAUAUAUAUAUAUCACCUCCCUUUCUCUCCUUUUCACUCAUUAUACAUACAAGAUUCUCUCUGAAUAAUCUCUGCCUUCUCAUAAUCCUCAAGAGGCAUGUAACAUGUAUAUAAUACACACAGAUAUCUUCUUUGAAUGUUUAUUUUCCAAAGGGAAAAGAACAAGUUUUGGAAUAAUUACAAGUUGAGAACUGUCAUUAGAUGAUACGUAUAUAUAAUCUUAAUUACUCAGAGGUUAAUUAGAAGUUUAGAACCUACCUAUAGAGGGCAGGGAAACGUUUGAAAGAUUGAUGUAUAUACGGCGAUAUAUUCGUGUCUGCAAACCAUGUAUGUCUGAAAGACGUAUAUUUAUGUCUGCAGACGCAUGUAUAUAUACCUACAUGUCAUCAGCUACUACCUCUUCUGUGCAUGUACAGCACCAUAGACAUGUAUGGGACAUCAAUUAAAAGCUAAUCUCUUUUAGAAUCGAACAUGGCUUGGACACACACCUUCACACACACACACACACACAUAUCUGUUUCUGUUUAUUUUUCCAUACAUAUAUAUGAAUUAUGAUUCAAACACACAAAAUAUUAUGUUGUGAAAUAUUGAAAUCCACAUUUUGAAAGGGUUCCAAACUAGAAGAAAACUUAGCAAUUGCCUUUUUCUUUUUUAUGCAUGUAUAUAUGUAUAUUAUUGGUAUUAACCCUUAAAACUAGAGAUUGCUCGGUUCAUAUCUUUUAUGCAAUGAUGAUACCAAAACUUGAAUUUGGUGUAUUAUAAAGUAGUGAUGUUUAACAAAUACAUUAUACUUAUGCAUAUACACACACACACAUAUGUAUAUCUAUCUAUAUAUACGUACACAGAUGCAUAUAUGUAGUCGACGAUACAUUUUCGUAGAUAUCUACAAUAUCAAUCCGCAUAUCCACAAUCCUUAAAGACAUGAUAUCUUAUGAUGUGAAGCUGAGAAUCUCUCCUACGCAGGGGCGGAGCUAGAAUUGUAAGAUUGAGGGGGUCGAGAUAGAAAACACAAGUAUAUCAAAUACAUACAAGUGUUCAAAACGCAUGUUAGAACUAAAUUUUUCAAAAUUAGUCAUGUCUAAUUAUUUUUAAAGGGGCCAUUAAUUAAAAUUACAAGUUGUCUAUUAGUAAGUUGUAAGGGAUCAAAAAAAUGGAGGGCUCAGGGCCACUCCUGGCCUAGGAGUGGCUCCUCCACUGCUCCUGCGUCUUAUCUUUAUGAGUCUAUAAAGAGGGGAAGGACUUGAGUUUCAUGAAUUAAAAACCACUAAUUGAUUUCUCAAAUAUACAGGUAUAUCGAUCUUUCGCUCAUUUCUGUUCCCAAAUGGUGAUUUUUACCAGCAAGAAACCUGGCUUUUCCAAGUUGGUUAUGAAUGAGGACCAAGUCCCAACUCUCUCUCUUUAUACAGAAAAUGAUGGGGACGACGAUGAUGACGACGAUGAUGGAGGAGAUGUGGCGCCAGCAGCAUAGUUAUCAUAGAUUCAUAGUGUUUAUGAAUAAGAGUGGCUUAAGCUUUGAUACUUUCAUCAACUUGAGCUGAACAGAACAUUUGGCAAUAUAUAUAUAUAUAUAUAUAUUGUAAAGAAUCAGCUGCAUGUUAUAAAUUUAUAUUCAUAGGGCAACUAUUUUGUAGCAUACCAUAAUAUUAGGUGUAUGCAUGCAAUUUAAAUAAGCAAAAGAUACCUCCGGUGUGCUUAUACAGUCAUACGCACCAGAGCCAUCUGAGAAAAAAGAAGAAGAAGAAGAAGAAGAAGAGGAGGAAGAAUUCAGGUGUCUAUGUUUUACGACUUUUGGUUGUCUGGGGUGCUCUUCCCCUUAUAUCAUCCUCAUCAUGAGUUGGACAGCUUCUUUUUAUUUUGCAAAGGGCCAGAAAGAGAAAAAUAUUACUUGUAUAUGAUUACUGAGAUCAUGUAUGGCAGCAUGCUGCAAUAUUAAAUUUUAAUAAUAAUUAGUGAUAUCUACUUAUUCGGAGUACGUAAUAUCAAUCUCUCUCUCUCUCUAUUAAUUAUGUCUAUCUCCCCGUAAGUCCAUCCAUUAAUAUAUCAUGGCAACUGAAGAACAUGGAUCUUUUAAAGGAUUUCUUUAUAGAGUUAAUUAUCUUCUUGAUCAUUUCAAUUUCCCCCUUUCAGUUUUGUAUUAUGCUCAAGCAUGGAUUUAUGUUAAUUCAUUUUCCAUUACUAUAGCUGAGCAUAAAAUCCGUGAACUGAGUUUAGAAAAUGUAAGUACUGUGUUUUUUUCCUUCUUAAUUAUAUUUGGUUAUCUUGUCUGCUAGGGUUUUUCUGAUUUCUUGGGUUUAUUUUUCUUGAAAUAGUUUGAAAUAUGUGAGGUUUGGUGCUUGAUAGAUUCAGGUUCACUUGUUUUGCAGCGAACGUCAUUCGCUACCUUUCGUUACAUUAAGUUCAUUUUGAAAUUUGAGACAAAUAAGGUAUUGAUUUGUGGAGAACUGCUGAAAUUUUAAUUUGAGGGUUGUGAAUCUGUGAUCAUAACUUCAGCUUGGAGAACAAUGGCUAGAGGAGCUUCGGUACGUUUAUUGCUUUAUACAAAGUUGCCAUAUAGGCUAGCUGGGAAUAUUGAAAACAAGUUGAAGAAAGUGCUUUCCUUGCUUUACUUUUGUCCGCAUCAAAAGGGUAAUUAAAUUUUCUUCCUUUUAUGACUGCAUAGCUGCAUAGUUGCAUAGCCUUGUCCUUUUUCAUGUAUUCUGAAAUUCGUUGAAUGUAUGUAUACUUUGUGUUUGGUACACUUUGUACUAAUAAUAUGCUAAGGCGCAGCUUGUUAUGCUUGUUCUUUUCAACUAUUCUGUGAGCCCGAUAAAUAAUAGUUCAUUAUUUGUUGCUUCACUUUGCCAAUAUUGCUUGAGGUGAGUUACCUCAAGCAAGAGCAUGAUCUUGGACUGCAAAUUUUCAUGGUUAUUAAGUUUGUAGGUCAUUUUAGAGCAUUAAAUCGACAUAAAAAGAUCUAAAUUUCUGUUAUGUGAAGAUUCAUGCGAUAGGAUUAGUGAGCUGCCAAGAAAUACUAUUGUCAUUCAGGUAUUUGGGUUGGAUUGCUCCUUGUUCUUGUUGUCUUUUGCACUUUACAGUAAUUUGAGAACAUUUUUAUCUUCUAUGCAGGCUCAGAAAGCAGAGAGGGAUGCUACAGAUUUAUAAACUUAGAGUUUGGUGAAAAGGUAAAACAUGAAUUGAAGUUUUAAUUGUAGUUUAUGUGACUUCAAAGUUGAUGAAAUAAUAUAUUGGUCUAUUAUCUCUCGUCUUUUGCAGUGGGAGAAGGGAAAUAGCACAUACACCCAACAACAACUUGAUGAACUGAGAAAUGAAUGGGUAGAAUUUGUGAGUCAUCGCAUGUACUAGCUAUAUAUGUAGUUACCUAGUCACUAUUUUGUGAAUUUUGGCUAUAAAUAGUUAGCCCUAGUCACUAUUUUGUGAAUUUUGGCUAUCGAUAGUUAGCCUACCUAUAUGUAGUCAUCAUGGAGUAACACUAUAUGUUGUAUAAAUGUGGUAGGGUUUUGAACUAUGACAGAAUUGUUAAAGUAAGAUGUAUCUUAAGCUUUUAUGAAAAAUGCAGGUUUUUGAGUAUGAAUAGUCCAUUUGGACCUCAAUAUCCAGGUUGUAUGUAAACAUGGGUGGGUUUCUUGUUCCACAGAGGUAUAAAAUCAUCUUCCCAAUAUGCAAAUCCAAAAUAAAACUACGAUUUACCUUAAAAUAGCAACGUAGAAAUAAGUGUAAGUAGAAAUAAGGAUGACACGUCAAAUUUAUUUUUAAAAUAUAGACGUAGUAAGUCUAGAACUACGUCCAUUUUUAUUAUCAAUUUGACAUUGUAAGAUUCAUACUACGUCUACGACACAUACCACAUCGCUUCUCAAGUAAUACUUGACGUAGCUGUUAUUCAAAAACGUCUAUUUUAUUUUAAAAAAGUGACGUGGGAUAAUACUUCCUAUGACGCUUUUUAAGAUAUAGGGACAUAGAAUGUUGUUUUAAGCAUCGAUUUUUCUUCUAAUGGAACUCGAACGAAGUUGCCUUUGGACAAAAAACGACGUGGAUUAAUAUAUUGCACGGUGGUGAAUCACCGUCGUGGUUAAGGUUUUUAAACCAUGUCGGUAGAGUAGACAUUGCUUUUUCACCUUGAACCACGACGGUUUUCCACCGUCAUUGUUUUCAAUUUUUGGCAUAGUGUAUAUUGCCUCGAUCGUCAUCGUAUCGAUUAGUAACACCAAAAAUACAUCAAGAACUUAUAGGAGAAUAUUAACCUAGCUAUAUUUCAGAGUCAGAAGAUAAUCUAAUUGCUUUUGUUGUUAUAUGCCCUUUUCUUUCACAUAUAACAACUAGCUAAGGCAAUAUCUAAUAUUUAUGAGACUUGCUAUAAUCCUAUCAUCAUGCUCUAACAGAAUCUAAGUUUAUUUUUUUUUUUCUCAUGAAACUUACAAAAGCUUGAGAUCUCUAAACACACCAUUCCACCUAAUCCAUCUCAUACAAUUUGAACAAAAGUAUAUGUGGGUUGAUUAACCAUAUAUAGUCAUAUAAUAAGAAUAUAUGCAUGCAUAAAAAAGAAGUGUCAAUAGGAAUGUAAAAAAAAAAUUUGAUGACUAGCUAGGAUUGUAUUGGAUUGGAAAAGUCAUUAAUCUAAGAUAUGUUGUUAAAGGAGGAAAUGAAGGUCGGUGAAUGAUUUUUCAUUUUGGGGGCGAUUAGGAAGGAUAAUUUAUAAAAUGUUGCUAUCCUACCAUUUUGUGGGGAUUAUGGGAUAAGUUUUCUUCAUUUUUUUUAAAUUUUUUUUUAGGACCUUUCCUAUUGAAAGGGACGAUAAUUAACAUAUUAAACUUACACACACUACAUGGAUGUUAGGACUCGAACCCAAGACCUUUUUUGUGAUCCAAACCACUACUAGUGGGUCCUUUACAAAUAAGUUUUCUUCAUGAGUAAUCUAUUUUUUACCUUCAACAUGACCAUGGGUUUUUCAUUUCUUCCUAUAAGACCAUCCACAAUGGUAAGGUGUAUAUUGAGGUGUAUGUCAAAUAUACACAUUUGGUUGCCGGAAUGUCCUGCAAUGGGGAGGUAUAUAUGGCUAUAAAUGUACAUCACAACCAUGAGAUGAGAAAAAAAGAUACAAAAAUGUACAUCUAAUUUUACACCCAGCCAAGUUGGUCCCGUAACAUAAAAGCCAAGAGAGAAGAGAGAGGAAAGCUAAAAGAUGGGGAAGUUAUUAAAAUGGUAGGCUCAUGGCGUGGAAGUUCUUCUCCAACAAAUCUCUAAUAUAUGGCCAUAUUUCAUUCAAAUUGAAAUAUGAAACUAAUAAUUGCACUGAUCAAUGGUGAAGAAUAAAUUCAUAUCAAAACUGACGAUUCAUAUUAAUUUUAUUUACAUCAUAUUGAAUGAAAUUAUAUCUUAUCAGAAUUUUAAAAUUUUUAAGUCGAUUUGUUCAGAAAAAAUAAUUAAACCUAACACACACAAAAUUAACCCCAAAAUAUUAACAUUAAAAAAAAAUUUGACACAAAAAUUGAAUUAAUACAAGAAAAUCGGAUUUACAUCUUUGAAUCUGCAUCCAACUCAUUGGAGCAAAAAUGAUAUUUGCAUCUCCUGAAGGUGUAAAGGAGAUGUAAAAGUGGCUUUACACCUCCCCAUUGUAGAUGCUCUAACAUACUUAAAAUAUAGGAAGUUAUCAUAUCCAACCCUCGCUAGACAUCAAAUGAGCCCAAAAUUUCACCCAAAAAGAAAUUGGUAUACAUAUAUAUAGUGAUUUCCAAAGAAAAAUUUGAAUACGUUGGGUUCAAUCUCCAAAAUACAAACCACAAUGAAUAUUUUAGAAAAAGGGGUACGUAAUAUCCAGCGUGGCAGACGAGCUGGAGGUGACAGUGGAGCCUGAGAGCGUGCAUGGACUGUUGAUCCCACAUACCGAAUGCGCAGCGCAGGCACUUGCCAUGAGCCUAGCAUACGUCGACAGACCUACAUCCCACUAGGAAAAACGUAUGGAGGGCAGCCCUGCCAUGUCAUCGCUCCCUCCUGUUAGCGCCAAAUUUCGUUGCCCUUUUCAUGUCAACGUGUCCAAUAUCAAGAUCUCAAACAAAUUACAGAGAUCGCAGAAGAAAGCAACAUGUCUGUUGGAAAGGAUAUGGAAUAAGAAUUUGCAUAUGCCAAUAUGAUGAUAUUAUCCCUUUCCCUAUUAUAAAUAUGCAGACAUGUACUGGUGCAGUCUGCAACUAGCUUCCGCAUACACACUGCAUGCUUAUUUAAUUUCUUUGGUCAAUUUCUUAGGUAAGCAGGUCCUUUUUCUUUUUCUUUUUUCUAUAUAAACCCUAUUUUAUAUAUGUCAGUUGCAAUGGUGAGUGUCAAUAGCAAACAGUUACUUGCUGCUUCCAAGUUGGUUUUUAAAAAGGAGGAGCUGUCCAAGACACAGUUUCAUGUUCACCGGAAGAAUGAUUGGGAUGAUGAUGACGACGACGACGACGAUGAUGCGGGCAGUGUUGCACCAGCCGCAUAGCUAUAUAUAUGUUUAUUGGCAUUGAGAGAAUUUGAGGCACUUCCCAGCCUCCUAGGAGUGAGCUUUGACACACUAGUUGAACAAUGUUGUGCUUUGGCACUAGUUGUCUCAGUUAAAGAUUGUUUUUUGUUUUUAAGGAGUUUCAAAUCGAGUACUAUUAGAACAAAAGAGAAAAACAAGUUUCUCGACUCCCUCUGCUAGCUUGUCUUGUUUUUAAUAGUACGUUGACUGAAUAUUAAUCUAAGCUUAAAGUUCAUUACAAAAUCCGAAGUUAUCUGCUUGUCUUGUUUUUUAAGUUUUUAAUGUAUAGGGCCACCAAUAUAAUAAACCACUUCAUUUUGAAAGGCCGAAUAACCAUGCAUAUUCUGAGUCUGUGAGGCAAGAAAGCUCAGUAAGAUUAAGAUAUUUUAUCAAAGAACCUCAGCAUAGAUACGGGAUAGUGAUUGCUAUAAUAAUCAAUAUCAAUUAAUAAACCUUAACACCUAUCAAUGUUGUUUCGAAAGAUAUAUGUGUAUGUGCGCGCACGCGCGUCUCUUGUGGUAGGUACACCAAUCCAUAUUGCAAUGAGUUUAGCUACUAUUCGUCAAUAAUUAAAUCACCUUUAGUUUGUCUUUCAAAUGGUAGCUUGUUCAAUUCAGAAAUAUAGCACGAAAGAUCAUUCAUUGAAAGGUCUUUUUAAAUACCAAGCUAUGGGCUCAAUUAUAUUUUUCAUGUACUCUAACCACAUGUCUAAUUCCAACAUGACCAAUUAUAUUAUCACUGACAGAAACAAAAAUGACAAUGCCUUGCCUACUCAACUAAUUGGGGUCUAAAUUUCAGAAAGAUUCUUGGGCCGGGUUAGAAUUUUCCAAUAUAUUUCCAUUUUGAAAGAAAAUGAAGUUUUUAUAACGAGGAGUUACAAUGAGAGAGUUCAAUCCAACAGUUCAAUAAUAACUCUACAUUAAAUCGGAUUGCUACUAAAGACCCCACCCCCUCAUUAUAACCCUCUACCCUUCCUGCACACGAGCGGCAAGAAAUGGGCUUCACAUUGUACACAUGAUCCAGUUUUUCUCCAUUCUUCUUUUAAAGUUGCCCCAUUAAUUAUAGUGAGAACUGGGAUUCUGUUACAUUACACAAGGUAUAGAAGGGCCCAAUUGACAUUUCCUAAAUGAGCAACUGAAUCUGACCGUUAAUCUCGGGGUCGAACAGUCAACCUGUAACUAAAUCCUGCAGCUUACCUUAGAAAAUCCAGACCCAAUUAGUCUUUUUUAGGUCGGCUCAGCAGGCAAAAUUAUCGUCAAAUCAGACCAUGUGAUUUCUGUUUCAUCACUUGAAGCUGAUGGUUCAUGCAAAUCCAGCCGUCCUCGUCCUCAGUUUCUGGGACCUGGAAAGAGCAGCUGACGUGUACCUUCUGAGGACCAUGUUUCUUCUCACUCUUUUUAGCCCACCAAAUGGUUUGGUCUCUACUGUUCAAUUCAAUCUUCCAUGCUGCUUCAACCAAUACCAACUAUCUCUUUCCUCAUUUGAGUCACUUCUCUUUGACAAGUUCAUUAAUUUCACAAGUCUCUGUCUUGCAUUUCCAAAAUUCUUGGGGGGCUUCUGCCAGAAUUCUGGCAAUUUAGUUCUGUUUUGAGCUGAAACUUCUUCAAUAUCAGCAACAACAACCCAUUUCUUGUUUUAGAUUGUUUUCUUUUUUCUUGAACUCAGCAGCUCCAGGGAAAGAAAUCAUGGCUAUGCAUGUGAGCAGUGCAUGCUUUUCUGUUUUUAGUCACAGGAGAGUUCAUAAGAUUAGAGCUGUUGCUUCUGAAAAUGUGACCACAGAGGAUGAUAAGGUGAAACUGGGGGGUUCUGAUUUGAAGGUGACAAGGCUUGGGAUUGGAGCUUGGUCAUGGGGGGACACCAGUUAUUGGAACAACUUCGAAUGGGAUGGUAAGUUGCGGAAAUGAUUGAAAAACUGAGAAUCCCUUUUCAAAUUGAUGCUUUAUUUUGGUUAUAAUUGUGGGUAUAUUUGUUUCAGAUGAGAUUUUCAGAGUUUUUGAGCCAUUAUGUCUUUUCUAUUUUCACUUUUAUCAUUUGGGGAAGUGUUUUUAAUUUUGCUUCACUUUUUACACCUGCAAUUACAAUGUAAAGCCAUCAUCAGCUUCAAACUGUACACGAGAGGAAGUGAGCUAUAUUUGUAUGAUUCAACCUUAUGCAAUGGAAAUUCUUGUUGGUUGUUUGAUGGGUUUUUUAGGUGGGGCAAUAAAUCUUAAAAUUCAAUAUCUUUCUGAAUUGGUUGUAUUGGCAGCUUUGUUGUUAAGAUUAUGAAAUGCUUAGGUAUAUUGGAAAGUGGAAAUUAUUCAAUUGUGUUCAAUAUGGCAAUAUGUUUUGUGUAAAUUGCAGAUAGGAAGAUGAAGGCUGCUAAGUCUGCUUUUGAUGUCAGUGUUGAUGCUGGUAUAACGUUCUUUGAUACUGCUGAAGUUUAUGGCUCCAGGGUAGGAAAAGCGCCCUAUAUUUCCUUUGUUCCUCUCAAACAUAUGCCAUAAAGUUUUAUCAGUGUAAACAAAAAAAUUACUGUUCACUCUUGCAGGCUUCUUUUGGUGCUAUAAAUUCUGAAACUCUUCUAGGAAGGUACGUACUGGGAUAUAUUUUUUUUUUAUAGCGGCUCAUUCUACUUUCUAGUCAACAAAGAGUAAGGCUAAUCAUGGUUAAUUUCUGUAUUUUGAGAACAUUAGUUAUAUAACUUCCACUGAAUUUUACACAGAUUUGUCAAGGAAAGGAAAGAAAAGGAUCCAGGAGUGGAGGUUGCUAUUGCAACCAAAUUCGCAGCUCUGCCAUGGAGGCUGGGUCGUCAGAGUGUCAUUACUGCCCUUAAGGAUUCCCUCGGUCGCCUUGGAGUUUCUUCAGUAGAACUGUAUCAACUCCAUUGGUAUGUCCUUUACGUCAGGGUGUCAUUCUGCUAAUGUAACUACAAUAACUAAUCAAGUGUUUUGUGUUGAUUUUCAGGCCUGGAAUAUGGGGAAAUGAAGGUUGUUUUCAUAACUAAAUUUACUUUGUUUAUAUAUAACACCAUUUUUUUCAUAGAAUAAUUCUCUGUCUAGCUAAUGUAAAUAGAUGGCUAUAUAUAAUAAUCACCUUUUGUUUCUAAAGAGGCGUCUCUGGAAAAAUCAUAUUUCAGGGUAUCUUGAUGGUCUUGGAGAUGCUGUUGAACAAGGCCUUGUGAAGGCUGUUGGUGUUUCAAACUAUAGCGGUACAAAUCUAUCCUUUUAUCUAAUUAUGGUCAGCUGUUCGAAACAUGUCCUUUAUCUUUCUUUCUUUUUUCUUCUUUGUUUUAAGUAAGUACAGAAUAUAUUGACACAUCGAGAAAGAAAUUUACAAAAAUGGAUCCCCUCCUCAACUAAUCUGAACAUGAUGCACAAAGAUCUUUAUUGCAGAAAGGCGAUUGCGUGAGGCACACAAGAAACUUCAAAAGAGAGGUAUCCCACUAGCAUCAAACCAAGUGAAUUACAGCCUCAUAUACAGGGCACCGGAGGAGAAGGGAGUAAAGUCUACCUGUGAUGAACUUGGGAUCACUUUGAUUGCCUAUUCGCCUAUUGCUCAAGGUGAAGUUGGAACCUUGUAUUUUCUUAAUCUAUUUUCAUUUUCAUUCAAUAUCUUAGCUUAAGAAUUAAUAAAAUCAUUUUUAGAAGGUAUAAUAUUUUUUCAAUUUACAGUAUUCAAGACCUCUCUGAGCAAUCUUCAGAAAUUGGGGCUUAAGUUCAUCCUAUUGUUAUCUUUUGUUUUAACUUAAGAAGGGUAUAAACAAUGGAAACAAAAAUCAUUGCUGAGUUAGGAGAAAGCAGGCUUGCUCACUUUUGUCACCGAUCCCCUGAUUCUGAAUUUUGAGCAUUCCUUUUCAAGCAGUUCUUAACUUCAACAUUAUGAGCUUAUUUCUUCUAUAUUGUGUGAUAGACUAGUUCUGGCUCCUAAAAGAAACAGUGAAGAAGUAAAAUUCUCUCUUUCUCGUGCAUUUUUUAAAAUCUUACUGUGUCUUGCUUAUUCUUGAAUUCAACUAUUUUUGGAUAAGUGGUAAUCUUGCUUGGUAAAACCUUUAAAGUGAAAUAUCUAAGAAAAUGGAGGUGUUUGUAUAUCUGCUUUUCUACAUUUAAACUCAUAUUUCACCAAACCAGUACCUUGUAACAAGUGAAAAACAGCUGGGUUAUCCGCCCAUUGCACAGUUUUAUUUUUUAUUUUUUAUUUUUUUUAUAGAAUGCACAGUUUGUUAUUAGGUAAGAAAUUGGACAGUUUUUAGUAAUAAAAGGGCAUGCAGUUAGUCUGAAACAAAAAAUAUGUGAAUUCUUGAUAAAAGAUGUCUGUUGAGGUCUUAUAUUAUCACUUGUAAUCUCUGCACAACCCUGGUUACAAUGAUUACAGCCUUUAAUCUCAGAUCUUAGUAGGUUGGUUUCCGCAGAAGCCAAGUUUUUCUGUCUGAUCCUGGUGUGAAAGAGAUUGAGAAUAUUGAAAUUUCUACUAUUUAUACAUAUGCAGGUGCUCUUACAGGAAAGUAUACACCUGAAAAUCCUCCCACCGGCCCUCGAAGACAGAUUUAUACUCCUGAAUUUCUUACAAGGGUAAAGCAUAGUCAAUACUUUGAAAGCCAGUUACACAGUAAGUUCCAAUUUUAUUGCUGAAAUAUCAUUUUGAUAUGCAGCUCCAGCCUCUGCUGAACCGGAUCAAGGAAAUAGGAGAAAAGUACAGUAAAACAAACACACAGGUUUGUUAAUGCUCUUUAACUAUUGUAUCUUUUUCAAUUAGAAGUCCUCAAUUUUGUCAUUUCCGUGGAAGCAUGGCUGAACAGUAACCAGCAAUACCUAUAUUUUAGUAGUUAAGUCAUGUUAGACGUGGAUACAAUUAUCAAACUCUUGAUAGAUACCAAAUUGCAGGAAAGACAGAGCUCUUUGUUUCACUGUUUUUAGUAUAUGUAGACCAACUCUCUGUAGUUUCAUGCUCUCCAUCAUAUAAGAUCAUAAACCCACAUAUUGAUAUCUUGGACAAGAUUUCUUGAAUGCAGAAAUUCAUAUUUGGGCAAUCUAAUUUCUAACUCGCUGGGAUUUAAUGUGAGUUGGGUUCCUCUGCACAGGUUGUCCUAAACUGGUUGAUAGCCCAGGAUAAUGUUGUGCCAAUCCCAGGAGCCAAAAAUGCAGAACAGGCUGCAGAAUUUGCCGGUGCACUUGGAUGGAAGCUCGACAAUGAAGAAGUCGCUGAAUUGCGCUCUUUGGCUACAGAGAUAAGACCCGUUACUGGUUUCCCUGUUGAAAACUUAUAGAUUUUUGUACAAGCAUCUGAGUUGUAAAUUCCCCUAUACAAGAAUGUGUACACUUCUUCAUAUCAAAUACAAAUAUCAUGUUUUCUAUAAGAAUGAUUGCAGGUUGACCAUUAAUGUAACUAAAUCCUGUCCACAUUUUUAGCCACUUUAGAUCUGUUUGGAGACGCUAUCAUUUUGGUCUUAGCACAAAUUUUUAAGUGCUUGAUCAGAUGGAAAUGAUGUGAUGGAAAAACUAAAUUGUUUUCUUAUUCAGGUAUUACUAGCUUACAACUUUACAAUCUAUUAAAAAGACUAUUGACAGAAUACUUGGAUAAAGACACUUUCUACCUCAAAAGUUGAAAUUGUUUUUCCCAGAUCAAAACAAGAGCAUCAAGAAUUAAGUGAAUAGAUCGGAUUUUGAUCCGAAUCCAACGUAACUAAUAGGAGAUGGAUUGAACUUCUAAAUUCGAUAAUUCGAUUAUAAAUGGAUCCGGAUAUGAAUUAUAGUUGAUUCGAUCCGACUUAGUAUGAAGUAUAAUUUAGUUUUUCUAUGCUUUAUAUUAAUAUUUUAUCUAUGUAAAUGAGUAAUUUUAGUUUUAUAUGCACUUAGUAAGAAUACACUUAAAACUAAAUUUUAUGAUAAAAUAUCAAAAUUUGAUGUAAAAAGUAGAUAAUUACAAUACAAGAACGAGGCUACUAAUGAAACUUUGAUUUCUUGUACAUCUCAAAAUAAAUCCAAUAAUAAUUCAAUCUGAUCCAAAUCCGAUGCGUAAUGGAUAUGGAUUGAUAGGUGCAAUCUGAUAAUCCGAUUAUAAAUGAAUUCGGAUUUGGAUUAAGGUAUAUCUAAUCCGUUUGCAGAUUAGUUCGUCCUUUUUUUCUUUCUUUUUUCCAAUUUCUAACUUCUUUCUUUGUUUAUGCACGGAAAAUAAGCCCAUAAUUCCAAACAUAUUAAUUGGAUUGGAGGAUGAAUAAAUGCAUUUUGGUACCUAGUUGACCAUGUAAUUGCCUUCUCCAGCUACAGACACAACCAUGGACCCAAUUCGAUAUUAAGAGAGUAGUUAUUUGGUAGGCCUUGCCGCCCCUGUACUGAAAACGACAAUAAAUCAAAGCCAAAGGUUCAUAUUAGAUAGCAGCCCUAUCCAUUGCUGGCUAAGAGGCUAUAUUCUCUAUAAAACCAAAAUGACAUGAAUUUAAAGUUCAUAAACACAAGUUUAGUUCCUCAAGCUCAACCCAUGAAGCCUACCCCUUUAUACAUUGCACAGGAUCCUAGUCUCCCCAGCCAAAAAACUACCACCUCCAAAUUAAUGCCAAGAAUUGCUCAAACAAUUCAACAGCUUCUCUUCUCAUUUAGACUAGGGCUUUCCAUUUAGCUAAGUUUUUAAAGGUGGAGAUAGACCCACUUUAGUUCUCUCUCUCUCUCUCUCUCUCUCUCUCUCUUUUCUUUCUUUUUUUUUUUUUUGGUGAAACAGUCAAAUUCAUUGAUAAACAGGGCAAAAACAGAAUAUAUACAACCCCAAAGGAAGGUUCUUGCAAUACAGAAAAUCUAGAAAACAUAAUCAAUCCGGCAUAAACAUUGCCCGACAGUGAGUAAAAAAAAUUCACAUCUUGAAACCCAGCUCACUCGGAGUUAAAGAUGAGGAGUACCCAUAAAAACUGUAGCAGCCAGUGCUUCAAGAAGACCAUGACACAGAACAAUCUCUCAAUCAACUUGGGACAAAAAACACCUUCAAGUGGAGGACUUUACCCACUUUAGUUCUUAUCAUGAUUAACAGGAAGUAUAAAACAGGACCUGCUAGCAAAUUCUGUAGGCCACCAUCCUGCAGUAAAUUCUAGCUUGGAUCAAUAAGUCUGCUACCACCAGCACAUAAGGCAAGGGUUGGCUUGCAGUUGGGGAAGAUUCCUUCCAAGUGAACAAUUGGAGUAAACCUGGUCCAUGCUUCUUUUAUGUGCUUUUACUUUGUAUCUGUCCAAAUCCAUGCCAAGUCCAAUUCCUAUCAUCACUGCAUCCCAAUUGGAACAAGCUUUGAAGAUACCAUCUUUUCUAUAUAUUCUUCUCAGUUAUAUAUUUUCCAAGCACAAUCAUACAAGUUUUGACAACUUUUUUCUUCAUAUUUACCUAAAACACAAUAGGGAGAAGAUUAAUCCUUCUUUCAAUUAGACCUAUCUAUGUUUUGAGAAAUUGUUGUUUUUCCAACUUUUAGACAUCUGAAAUUGAAGAAAAUGACUUUAUAACUUUCAUAGAGAUAAGAAUAAGAUAAGUGCAAAUUUGCAUUGCAUCAUCCAAAAAUCUAAGCAUGACAUAAAAAAUUCCCAACUUGCCAAGCUGUCAAAAACUUGGCCUCUGACAAUCUUGUCCCUCAUCAUUGUCCAAUAAAAUGUGCAGUGCCGAUGCAAACGUGGCACCACCCUCAUACAUUAUCAGAUAGCACAGAUUGAAUGUGCUGCAAGUUCUAGAUUUGGUUGCCUUAAAAUAACCAAUCCCCCAGUCGUCCAAUUCUAACCAUCUACAUUUUACAGCACUCAAAGCUGACCCAGCCACAAGUUUACAGCAUGGCACAAUUGGGCAACUGCCACGUGGAAUGCUAUCAUGGGUUUCUGUAGAAAUUUGAAGCUCUGUGUUACUAGCCAAUCUCUGCUCUGACCUCUGUGACAAGUCCCUGUCCUUCUAACUGUUGUUAAAAGAGUUUUUGGUCCAUUCCCUUCCCAGUUUCUAGUUGUUCUUCUAGCUCAGCUCACACACAAACACACACAGAGAGAGUGAGAGACUUGUGGUGCUUUCCAAAACAGCAAUUUAUACACUGUAGGCUUUCAGUUUCCACUUCAAGAGAAGUCAGAGCUUGGCUUUUGAUCAGGGUUGCUUUUCUAUUUCAUUUUCUGCUUCUGGGUGCUAUUUUAGUACUCAUUGCCCUUCUGGGUUUUUAACUUUCUCUUCGUUUGAAGAUUUUUUGCUUUUGGGUUUCUUUUUCUAAAAAAAACCAGAAUUUUUUCAUGUCAUAUCAUUCUUUCUCUUUCUUUUUUUUUUUUUUUUUUUUCACUUCUUAUUAGUAUUUUCCCUUAAGUGGUCAAUGAUGUCUCUAUUUUCAAGUGCAGCUUUUUAGUUGAUUUUUCUCCAGUAUUUGCCUAUUUCCAUGGUGGGAUUAUUUUAUUCUGGGUUCCAUGUGACUCUCAAUUUUUUUAAUAAUGAAAAGUCUAAUUUGGGUGGGCUCUUAAUUUUUUAAUCUGUAAAGAGCAUGUGGUGUGGUAAACAAUAUAUUGGGGCUUCAUUUCAUUGCUUCUCUUAUUCCAUUUCUUAGUACAGUUCCAUAUUUGGUAUGCUGCAACAUCUUUUGUUGGUUAUUGUUUGAUUAUUAAAUUAGUUAGUCAGUUGACCAACUAAUCAAUUAGUAUUUUAAGUUGGUUUCUUCUAGAUGAGGUAUCAGAGCUUCUAAAUAUGGUUAUCAAUCAUUUACAAUAAUCUAAAGUUGUCUUCUUGCUUUGUUUUACAGAAAUCCUGUCUGCUGAGACAUGAAUUCUUGCAUUCCUGACUGGAAUUUUGAGGCUGAUCUCCCUUUGACCAACCAAAAGAAACCCAUGGGGUCUGUACUCUCUUAUAUAUCCUCAAAGUUAUUGCCAGAUUACUUGCCUGACUAAAAUAUUAUGCAUUUUGAACUUGUUGAACUAUCUUGAUUGGGUGGCAAAUUAUACAGGCCAGACCAUGAACUAGUAGAGCUCUUGUGGAGAAAUGGACAGGUAGUUUUGCACAGCCAAACGCAUCGAAAACCGUGUCCUAAUCCUCCUAAUGAGGCCAGACAAGUUCAAAAACAAGAUCCGCAAACCAUAAGGGUUGGUGGAUUAUAUGGGAACUCAAGUAAUUUGACUCAAGAUGAAGACACAGGUUCCUUGAUCCACUACCCUCUUGAAGAUUCCUUUGACAAAGAGUUCUGUUCCCAUUUUUUUUCUGAAUUGCCUUCCUGUGAUCCAAUUGAGAUUGACAAGCCAACCAAACAAUUUGAAGAAGAAAAGUUUGCUAAGUUUGGUGCUUCUGAUACCCCCCAUCUUGUUUCCACUGCCCCCCAACCUAAUGUUAAGUCCCCUGCUGGUAUGGGAUAUCCUGCAAACCCAAUGCCUCCUCCAAGAUAUCAAUACAAUAACUCAACUGAGCAAAACCAAAAUCUAGUAGGCUUGGGGAAAGUAGUUAAUUUUUCAACAUUUGCUACCCCAGGUAAGGGUGAUAGAGGAUCUUCCAGAGGAAAAAUAGGAGGGAAAGAGUCUGGCAAUUUAACUCAGGCGGAGGUUAAAGAGUGUUCGGUAAUGACCGUUGGUUCGAGUUACGUUGGUAGCAACCAAGUUCUAAAUGACUUUGAUGUGAGCAGGGCUUCAAGCAAUUGUGAUGGGACGACUGGUUUAUCUGUUGGACCCUUCUAUGACAAUGUUCAAAAGAUGAUGCCUCAGAAUGAGAGAGGGAAAACAGAUACACUAGACCCAACUCUUACUUCGUCUUCUGGUGGUUCUGGUAGUAGUUUUGGCAGAGGAGGAAAGCGGUCUAAUGUUGUCAAUAGCAACAAAAGAAAGGGUAGAGAUGCUGAGGAGUCAGAGUGCCAAAGUGAGGUAAAAACCCUCUCUCCAAUACAUUGACUGCUUGUAGCAUCACUGUCUUUUCACCAUGACCAAUAACCUGUUUAUGUUUUAGGCUGCUGAACUUGAGUCAGCUGCAGGAAACAAGUCAGCACAACGGUCUGGAUCAUCCAGGAGGAGCCGUGCUGCUGAAGUCCAUAAUCUCUCAGAAAGGGUAUGAGUUUCCUAUCAUUUCAUAGUUUUGGAAUUUGUGAUUUUGUUGCUGUAACUUGUUUUUUAGUUACACUAUAACUUGUUCAUUGAUGCAGAGACGGAGAGAUCGGAUCAACGAGAAAAUGAGAGCAUUGCAAGAGCUCAUACCUCAUUCUAACAAGGUUUACUUUCUUAAAGGCCAUUCAGUUUUUUCUGUCUGUAAAAAAAAAAAAUACCGCCGGCACUCACAAUAUCUUUCUUUAUUCAUACUACCUAUUAACUUGUUUUCUUUUCUCUUGUAGUCUUUCAAUUUUUAUGUAAUCAUAUAUUGUUCUGACUGAAUUGGUCCUUAUUUUUCAGACAGAUAAAGCAUCAAUGUUAGAUGAGGCAAUUGAAUACUUGAAGUCUCUUCAGAUGCAACUUCAGGUACAAUGGCACCUCAUAAAACUCAAACUGGUCCUAUAUUGUUUGUAGCUCAAGCUACUAAUAACAACUUUCCUUGGUGCUUCAGGUAAUGUGGAUGGGAAGCGGGAUGGCACCAAUGAUGUUUCCAGGCAUGCAGCACUAUAUGUCCCGAAUGGGAAUGGGAAUGGGAAUGGGAGUGGGAAUGGGACCACCAGCCUUGCCUUCAAUGCACAAUCCGAUGCAUUUACCCAGAGUCCCUCUAGUUGAUCAGUGCAUUAAUGUGGCUCCAGCAACAAACCAGGCUGUAAUGUGCCAAGCACCGGUCUUGAAUCCAGUUGAUUAUCAUAACCAGAUGCAAAAUCCCGCUUUUCAGGAGCAGUAUGCGCGUCUUAUGGGCUUCCAUCAUAUGCAGACUAUGUCUCAGGUUUGUGUUCUUUGUCUUGAAUUAAAUGUUUAGUAAUAUAGUGGUUUUGUACACAAGUAAAUUAUUCGCCAUUCGUGUCUUGUUAGACAUGCUUUAUUUUUUUUUUCUAACUGUAUUGUUUUCAUUUUAUCAUAUCCAAAUUUUCUUGCAGCCUAUGAAUAUGUUCAGAUUUGGCUCCCAGCCUAUGCAACAGAAUCAGAUGACAGCACCAACUGGCAUCAACAGUGGACCUUUAGGUGGAGGAGGUACAGCUAAUGAUACUUUAAGUGGCAAGAUGUGUAAGUCACUUCAUCAACCACUUAUCCUUAGGUCACUUUAUUGAUUUCUAAGACUCAGAUUUGCAAACAAAGUAUGUGGAAAGUUAUAUUGAUAGGCCAGUAACUGACUGCUCCUCCGUCUUUGAGAUAAUCAUUGUUUACAAGAAGCAUGCUUAACUUUUCAAACUCAAAAGGGAGUAACUUAUGUUAAAGAAACCGUGUGAACCGUAGUUUGUGGAUUCUUAUGUUUGAUGGCUGUCAAAAUCAGGGUCUAUGUAGCAAAUUGGGGUGAACUUAUGAAUAUUUCCUAUCUUAUCUUCGUUUCAAUCUCCCAAUAAAGUGAAUGGUCUCAAACUUCUUCCCUGCUAUGAGGGUUUGGCCGCAUAUAAUCUUGCUGUGCACAAUUGUGGCUCAUAUUAUCUGCUAAAAUAGAGGCCAUUAUGUCUUCUUUUAUUUGCUUACACUGAAUUCUCCUUUUAGCUGUCAACAGUCCUGACGCUGAUGCUCUUUAGCUAUAAUUGUCAUUUUGACAUGUAAAAAACUGUUUUGUUUUUGUUAAAUCCUUGAUGCCAUAAGUGUCCCUGUCAUACUAAUUUUAAUGGACACACAGCCUUUUUCUGAUGUUAACAGGUUAAUCAGUGAGUAUGCAUGCUUAUCUCCUCUCUAUGGUCCCCUGGCUUAUUUAACAAGAUUAUUUCAAGGUGGCAAAAGUUGUUGUGUUGAAUAUAUUUCUAGCUCGCACGGUUCGCAUGCCUCCCCAACCAGUGAGCGUGACGUACGAUCUUACAGCGUAGUUGAGGUGAUCGAAGAGUCACUUCUCCUACGUACAUGCCAAUGAACAACUACUGCAAGAGUUCAAACAUCCCAAGCCUAGUUGCGCAGCUUCCUGAAUUGAGUUUUUGACUCUGGUAAAAAGUAAAAUAGUAUUUCAGUUCAUGUCCAAUAACAUGUAUAAAAUACAGGCAUUUUUCUGCUCAUUGAUGUUCUCUUAUAAAAAUAUGCCUCAAUUUUUUAAUGGAUAUUGAUGUUUCCUGAAGUGUUUCUUUGUUUGCACCUUUAUGCUUAUGCUUUUGCCUGUGAUGGUUUUAUCUGUCACUGUAAGUAACUGGAAAUGAAUAAAGGAAAAAGUUGAAUCACUGAGGCUUUUCUCUUUUACAGUUCAUGUUCUGAAAUAUUAGUCCAUUUAUGACCUGUUGUUUUCAAGGUUUGAAGAUCAAAAGGAAUUUGCUGUACCACUCUUUCUCAAGCUUUAUCUUGUUCUUUACAAGUCAAGCUGCAAUUAAUUGAAAGGUAGUGGUGUCUUGGAAUCAAAAUAAAAGCAAAGCCAACUACUAUCUGCUCUGCAGAUAUUGGGGAGAAAAACUUGUAUAUAACGGGGAUAAUACUAUUUUGCUAUUUCCAACCAAUCAUGUUCCGCCACACGUAAUAAGGAUUCUAAUUGGCUGAGCGUGAUUGGAUGGGGAUAGCAAAACAAUGCUAUCUCCGUGACAUGCAAGUCCUCGAUAUUGGAGUACCCUUUUUUUUAUCUCUAACUCCAUGUUACACGAGUCAUAAAACUCCAAGAUCAAGCACAUGGCUUGCAGGGCUGAUCCUUUAUUGCAUAAUUUGACUUGGAGCGCUCCUUCAUUUUAUUUAAUGGUGGAACCUAUGAACAUGGAAACUUUCCAAAAUCUGAUUAAAAUGGUGUGCUUUGUGCUUCUCACAGAGUCAAGUAUACAACUUGUGCUUCUGUAUUUCUAGCAUUUUGAUCUUCAAGUCAACAACUGCCACAAAGAUUAUGUCUCCUCCUCCCUACCCUUUUUCUGUAGAUGCUUUUCUUUUCUGGUUUCCAAUUGUUUCACCAAGUUCAAUAAUUGGUCUUGAAGCAAAAAUGUCUAAUUAUGUUUUAUUCAGAUUAACAAGUUUGGAACCAACGUGCCUUUUAGCUUAAGUACCGAGAUUAGUUAGUGAGGAGAUAAUUAGGAGGUACGAUCAAAUAUAAUAAUGACUUACAAGUGCACGUGCAUGACUCACAUAGGUCUCCCACUAUCAUUAUAAAUAAUUAAUAAAUAAAAUUAUUUGAUCAAAAUGUCAUUUCCUUUCCAGCAAGAAGGAUUUCUGCUUUCUCCGACAUGUAUAAGAUCAUCAUUAUAUUCUAUCAAGUGGGGUGGGUUUCAUAUUCAUCUUUCCCAAAUUCCAACUCACUUUGGAGAACUAUUUGAUCAAUCACAUUAACUGAUGACAUCUAGCAUAAAGACGAGACACAAGUGAAACUCACUAAUGUGAGCCGGUAAGUUAUAAUUAACAAUGUGAUCAGUAACUAUCGUACAUAUAACGUUACGGUUAAUUAUACAUAUAUUAUUUUGAUAUCUUAUUAAAAUUGAUAUGUUUUCACCUUCCCCAAGUUGUAUCUCUUUGUUUUUUUAAUGGCUUUUGGGAUGAGGGUUGGGGGUGGUCCUUUUUAUAAUGGGCAGAUUCCCCUUAUAUUUAUUUUAAAUGAAAAUAACUAGGCAUCAUCAUCAUGAAUUCAAGACUAUUGCUUCCGUCAACAUAAGGUGGUUGAGUUGGUAAGGAUUGUUUUUUUUGCUAUCAAGGUUUAGAUUCAAAUUCCGCUGUCGACAAUUCCUUUUAGUUGGUAACCUCAAAGAGGCCUUGGUAUACCUGAUCUUGAGAUGGGAAUAGCCUUCCCUUCCCCUAAACUUUUUGUUACCGAAAAAAACAAGACUAGUGCUUCCCAAUUAUCAUGGGCCCCACAAGAAGAUCUAACCAUAUAAGCAGAUAACAGAAGAUAAAAGAUGUCAAGGGCCAUUUGAAGCUAGUGGCAAAAGCCAGCUUUCUUUUCUUUUUUCUUUUUUAAAUUAAUGAUUAUUAUUAUUAAUAUCUCCUCAGUCCCCACUAUAUAUCUUUUUCUUGAUGUUGGAAGGUGGAUGAAGAUUGAUGUUGCCGGCCGCAGCAGAUUGGUCCCAUUCUUGCAAAACUUGCCUACAGCCAACGUAGUUCAUGAACAUCUUUUUUCUUGGCUUCUGUCUUGUCCGCAAGUUGGAGGGACUUGAGAUAGUAAUUUCCAGUCAUGUUCACUGCAUUAAUCAUCCCGAUCAUUUAUGCCCCACUUCCAAGAUUUUCACUUCAUUCUGAAAAUCAAUUGAUUUUUCCUCUCAAUCAUUAGCCUUCUUUCUUUUACCACCUAAUAAAUCAUUGGUUGAUUUUUUGUUUAUUGCCAACACCAAAUCAUUGGUUGAGUUUUUUAGGUAAGAAAAUCAUUGGUUGAUUACUACAUCAAUUUGAAUAAUUUUAUAUACACAUUUUUUUUUUAAGUCACAAGAAAUUACAUCAAAAACGAACUUUCGAAGCUACUGAUUGAGCAAUCCUAAUCGAUUUGUGGUUAGGGUUCGAGGCUUGAGACUUGGAUUUAGGGUUUGGAGGCUCAAAUCAAUUUUUGUAAUGCUAAAAUCAUUUUCUAAUAAUUGAGACUGUUUUUAAAAUAUAUUCAGAAAUUAAAAAUAAUUUUAAUGUCCACAAAAUUAUUUAAGAUAAGUAAAUAUAACUAAUUAUGAUUUAUUAAGUAAUUUAUGGAAUUAAUUAAAAUACUUCAAUACUAAUUACUCAUUAAAUAAAGAAGAAUUAAAAUAUAAAAAUUGAUUAAUAUAAUUAAAUAAGGCUAAGAUAUUACUUAAUUGCGACAAACUAAUUUUGUAUUAAAAAAAUAAAAAAACAAAUUCCACAAAAUAAUUUAAAAUAACUAAUUACUAUUUAUUAAGUAAUUUAUGAAAUUAGUAAAAUAUUUAAAUACUAAUUAUUCACUACUGAAAUCUAUCUAUAUAUAUAAAGCAAAAAGCAGAGAAUUGUGAAACAUUCAAAUUACUGGAAAAUGCCCUUGGUUAAUGCAAACAUUAAGAAUUCAAAUUAUUAAUUAAAUGAGGAUAAUAUGGUAAAUUCACACUUUUUCAUAUUUAAAAAAAUUAAAAGAAAAAGAAAAAGCAGAUAAUGGAUCCUAUUUUUAUGGAACACAACUACCCAUUAUCUUUUUUAAUUCUAAAAUAAAUUUACUUAUUUUUUUAAAAAAACCUCUCGCAAGCGCGGAAGCGCAUGCAGAGAGGCUAGUAAUAAUUAAAGCAUAAUUACUAAUUAAAGCAAUCAAAAAAGGCUAGUAAAAACUAUUUUGUGCAGUAUCGCCGAGCGGCUAUACUUUUAAAAUAUUCGUAUAUUCAAAGGGUAUCUCCGUGCGGAUAUGCUAUUUCAAUAUUAAUAUAUAUUGCCAGUACAGUCGUGUGGCUAUACCCGUAAAAUAUAUUCGAAUAUAUAUUUUGAAAGUAUAGCCGUACGGCUAUAUUUUUAUUGAUUAUAUCUAACGAGUGUAGUCACGCGGCUAUACUGUUAAUGUAUUCGAAUAUAUUUUACGGGUAUAGCCACGCGGCUAUACUAUUUAAAUAUUAAUAUAUUUUAAAAGUACAGCAGCCCGGCUAUACACUUAAAAUAUUUGAAUAUAUUUAACGAGUAUAGUCGCGCUGUUAUACUUGAACAAUUUAAUGUCAUGAAAUUCAGCACUCCAUACAAAAAGUCAGUAAUUAACAUUUUUACAAUUUGGAUUUGGAUUGAGAGGAGGCAUGACUCUAAUUCUAAUUAUUUGAAUUUUCCAUUUUUAAUAACAACAAAAAUAGUAGAUGUGUCUAUAUUCUAUAAUUUCUUCAAUUCAUGAGCAUUUGUUACACACAUUAGUUAGAGAAUAUAUUCCAUUCCUUCUUCUACCUUGGUAAAACCAUUCAAACAUUUCACUGGUUUCUGGAAAUCAAAAUCACAACAAAUGGUGUUGGGUUUUGAAAAUAAAGACCAAAGAUGAAAAAGGCUGGAAACUUUUGUCAAGUGGGCCUCUUAAGGCUUCAAUAGACCCAAGCAUGGGCCUCCUUAGCUAACAGCAUGCUUAUAAAAGAGGUGGCCUACUAAUAUUAUUAGUACCCCUCAACAACCCUACCCCAUUUGUAUUUGCUCCUCAUACAGCACAUGCAACAAGUGUAACAUGUGGGGGGAUGUUCACCUUUUAAUUCCACGUUUUUCAUCAUCUUGUGAAGAUGAAAACUACAUUUUAGGGUCGGUGUGAAGACUAAUUAUACCUUGAGAAUUAGGGUUGGCUAGCCCUCGGUGCUGGUUUAGAUAAGAAGGAAAGAUCGACAAAUUUGUUUUAGGGUUAUGAUAAAUAUAGAAAGAUGGUUGGUUAGUUUUUAGAGUAUUUUCAUCCAUUUAAAUUGACUGCUGACGUCAUAAUGAUGUCAGCAUUAAGUCAUCUUACCCAAGCAGCAAAGCAGAUAAGUUUUGCCUUGGGGGCUCAAGCUAGUGGAGCUCAGCACUUGCCCUAGCAAGCCUUGGCCGUUGGAAACGGGAUUGAGGGCCUCUUGCCCAGACUAGCUCCUCCCUCUGGAAAUACUCUUAGUGCUAGUUUAGAUAACAAGGAAAGAUCGAGAAAAUGGUUAGAAUUAUUAUAAAUAAUGAGAUAUCUUUUUACGUUAAUGACGGAAUGUGUAUCAACCAAUGCACAGCCGGAGGCCGUACUCACGAAUAUCUUUAGUAAAAUUCAAACAAAAGAUAUGAAGAUUACUUGUUGUCACAUUCGUUCGUGUGUAUAUGAACAUAAAAUGUGACUGGUUUACUAAUGCAAUUAACAAAGAAUGUUGAAGAAGAAUCGGAACUUAUUAAAUCCAUUCCCUAAGUUUUUUGCUGGGCUUUUGAUUUUCUUGCCUUUGGCAAGUUUUUGUCUCACCCCUAGGUUUUUAGGGGCUUAUUCUCAGCCUCUUCGGCUGAUCUUGGCCGAAUCUAAGGCGAUCUCUCACUUUUGGCCUAUGAUGGUUGUGUUGUGUUCUUGAUUUUUGGGCUCUGGGUGGGUGUAGAUCCCCUUUGAUCUAUCUUUUGCGGAGGUGGAGUUGAAGCAUUUGGUGGGAUCUACUAUCUUAUGGUGGUGUGGGAUCGUGUGUGGUGCUGGUGAUGCUGUGACUUUUUUUAAGGUCAAGGUCGAAUUUGAGUGGUAAAUGUUCUUUAAUUUUAGGGUGUUUCCAGUUCCAAAAAUGGAUGAGACCUAGUUCUCUGACACGAUCUCUCAGCACUGGUUGCAGAGUUUCCACUCUGAGUGAGCUUGGAUUAAAGGAAAAGAAAAAGAAAAAGAACAAAACAAAACACCAAAUCCCGGGACUGAAGUGAGCAAUUGGUGAAAGAAGAAACAAAAGAUGGUAAGAAAAAAGGCUGUUUCUGUUUCUGACUUCUGUAAGCGCACAAGGCGAGGAGGAAAGAGAAGAUAUAUGUGUGACCAUAAAUAAAAGAAGAAAGAUAAUUUACUGCAUUUUCAACACGUGGUUGGUUAAGUGCCCAUCAAUCUUCUUCUCCUUCAUGUGGGUCUUUUUUCCCACAUGACAUUUCAUGUUUUCCACGGAAAAGGUGUUUCAGCUUAAAUCACUGGUCCACCAAACUUGGUCGGUGGUGGUGACCCAUUGAGUAAUGAAAGAGCAAUAAUAUGAUACACAUGGAUUAAGGAAAUUUAUCAUAUUAAUUUUUGUAUUUUCACCAAAUCCUUGGGUAAACAUCAGUCCUUUUUUUAGAAAAUGGGAUUUCAUUAACACAUCAAGAAAACACUAUAAGAUGUGACAACAUGUAUACAAGUAGCCUUAUUAAAUUUUUUUUUUGAAGAAAACCCAAAAGGAUAAAAUCUUAAAAUAUAAACCUUUAUUACUGUGGUAGUGUGUAUUAGUAGUUUCAAGUUCGAACCCUUAUAAUACUAAAAUAGUAUGUGUGUGAGAAACCUCUUCCACCUAUAGUUUACACUAUCGCUUAUACAAAAAAAAAAAUCUCAUCUUAUUGAUUUGUCAUUUGCCCUCAAAUCAUGUCUCUCAAAUUCUAAAUUAAUGGUAAUUGACAGCAAGGCCUGACUAGUUCACCUACACAAAAAUGUGAAUUACGUGAAAGUAAGAUACUCCAAAUUCGGGAGUCCAAGAGCGCCAUGGAUUUAAAAGUAAUUUUAUCAUUUUUUUUUAUUAAUAAAGUGAAUUAGUGUUUAACAUAAUAAAUUCAUGUAUGACACCUACACACAAUUAGAUUGUAAGUCGCUAUUAGUUUUAAAUGAUGCAUUUAAUCACUUAAAUAUAAAGGUAACGAACUUUUUGAGUGGUGAUAAGUGGGGCUCCUUUUGUUUCUGAAAAGGCACCAUGUACUCAGUUGAUAGUGAUAUUGAUAUGAUAGCCUAUUGAAUUUGAACCAGCAGAUUGUUGAAGAGAAUUCAUGUGUUUACUUCACUUCAAAAAAAAGUACAUGGUGCCUUUUCAUGAAUGUGGUAUUCUAAUUCAUAAAGAUAUAACCCAUUAGGAAUUCAUCUGUUUUACCAAUUAUAUCCUCACAUAAUUUUAAAAAUUCCAAAUUUGUUAUGUACUUUAACCCAACAAUAAGGACAUUUUAGUAGUUAGCACCACUCCAACCCCAAUUCUAUAUAGUUUAGUAAAGAACUUCAAUAGGACUUUGGAAUCUAAUUCUCCUCAAUCCAUAUGGUUUAGUAAACAACUUUAGUAGGAAUCCGGAAUCUAAUUCUCCUCAAUACAACUCCUCUUCAAUUCAAUUUUUCCUAAUUCAAUUACGGAUUAGUAACAUAUUGAAAAGAAAGGCCCAACGUGGAACCAUUCUUCGUUUCCAACCUAAACCAGCAAAGAUGUAUGAAAAAAACUGUUAACACUUUGGUUUUUAUUUUAUUUGUUUGUUUAAGUUAGGUUUAUAUUUUCUCCAUUAAUUGGGUGGUCCAUCUUGGUGGUUAUAAGUGGGGCCUGAAAAUAAUAAAGAGUUGUCAUGGUAGAAAAAGGUUAGUUGAUUACGACUUCUACAUACAUUUCUCUUUCGAUAUCCUUGUAAGUUGUAGACUAACUCAACUGGUAAUUAAAAAAUAAUUGAGGUCUAUUCAGCAUUGUAUCGUUUUCAAGCUACUCCACUAGGAUUGUGAGGAAUUUAAGCUUGAGACGAAAUCUCUGGAUUCAACAAUGAAUUGUAAGGAGAUGCAAGUUAGUUUGGUUGGCUAGAGCGACGUAUUCGUCCCUUGCACAUGACUCGCGAGCAUAAUUUUCUUUCAAGUAAUUUAGAGUAAUUUAAACUAUCACUUGAUUUUUAAAGUUUGCUUAACUUCAUAAUGACUUUUACAUUGCUCAUUUUCUUCGUUAUGUUUUUCACAUUUCUAAAAUAUACAGGGAGUUUCAGUUGAGGGUUCAUUCAAAUAUGCUUAUUUGAGGGACACCCUUGUAGGCCCCACUCUAUACUGUAUUUCACUAAUCCUAACUAUCUAUUUUGUAGAUACUUAUUCAAAGAUCAUCUUUACAAAAAAUCACUUGAAUCCGAUAUCAUUUAACUAUUCAAUUGAAUUACUGAAAUUUUAGUACUUUCUUAAAGCACCGUGUUCAUUGAUUUUGUAGGACAUAAUUGAAUAUCGAAACGGUUUUUGAUUUGUCCAAUUUUUUUUAAGGAUGAUCUAUGAAUGUAGACUUAAAAAAUAGAUGGUUUGGAUCGUUGAAAAAAAUAUUUGUAGGGGACCCUAAAAGGUGUUCCUAAAAUAAAAUUAUUUGGAGGAUCCCUGAAUAGAAGGAGACUAUAUAUAUAUGUGUGUGUGGGUGACAUGUAAGUAUUGAUUAUUACCACGCCAUAUGAUCAAUGUGAUGUAAAAAUAUGAUUCCUCUCGUAUUAUUCAUUUUCAAAUUCUGACUCCCCUUUUUAUCAUUUUGGUAUUGACUUUUAAGCUCCAUUUGAAAGGACUAUAUGCAAUGUGUCAAUGAGUCAUCUGAAAAUCCAUUUAUUUUCUUUAUUUUUUUCUUAUUCAAAUCUUGUCAUAUAUGAAUGGUAGUGAUCUUAAUCUUACAAUUUAACCUUAUAAUAUAAUCUGAUCCUUAGAUUUGAAUUCAUUCCAUCCAAAUGAAUCCUUACUUUUUCUCUGAUUUCGUACAUUUCACUUUAACUUCCAAAUGUGUUAAGUCUAUAAUGGCAAUGGAAGUCCUAUGUGUAACACUAUAAUUAUAAAUUAUUGGUUAGAUUAUCUUUAGGAAAAAAGAAGGACUACUUUCAUUGUAAACGUUAUUGUCAUGAGAUCUAAAUGUCCACUUACACCAAUUUAAAUAUUUGUGAUUUAGUUUAUUAGUGCCCCUCAUGAUAUAGAGUUUCACAAGAAAUAUGUUUGAUGCAUUACACAAUGCAUGACAAUGAAUUUAAUUAUAUAUAAUAAGGGCUAGAUAAAAUGGUAAACGGUGGAGAAUGGUGGAGAUAGGUGCACGAUUCUAUCUGAGUAGCUAGACUGAUUUUCAUCUAAUUAAUUAUAUGAUUUUUAAGUUUCACAUGAUUUGCAACCUUUCGAGAGAUGAUAUAUUUACUAGUGUUGAAAAGAUGCGUUCUACUUUAAGUAUUCAUUGUAGUUGGUGUUUUAUUAUUCUCGAUCAAUAACACAAUGAUAUGUAGGAUAAUUUUUUCACAUAUCAUACUGUUAUUGACCUAAGAUAGGAAAACAGUGUUAUUCCCAUUACAAGUGUUUUUCCUUAACAUUUCCCUUUUAAAUAGCAUGUGAGAAAAAAAAAAAAGAUCAAACAAACCAAAAAGAAAAAGAAAAAGAAAGAUAUUUGUAAAUUAGCACCAAAAAGUCAUGAUGAGGAUUGAAUGAGAUGAAUUGACCAGAGAAUUGUGUAUGUACAAUGUAUUGCAGAUGCCCCAUAUUGGUUGGAAGUUGGGUCAUGUGGUGUGUUUGUAUAUAAUAUAGAUAAUUAGGUUAGGUUCCGCCUAUAAUUUUAGGGUCCUCUUUGUAAAUGAUCUCUCUACUUACCACACGUUCGGUAAUUAUUGAUAAAUGAGAUUGAGAGUGAGUUAUCAAUCUUGAAUAUAUCACGUGGUUUUAUAAAUCAAGUGAAAGAGUUAUCAAUAUGAAGAGCAAAUUACGCAAUGCGAUAAGUAACUCUCUUUGUGGUGUUGAAUAUGAAAUUUGGAAAAGAACAAACUUAUGAAAUUUAACACUUUUCAAACAGUUUUUUUUUGGAGUUUCUAGGCGAACAACUUAAAUGUGGCAUUCUACUUUUGAUGUAUGUUUAUAUGAUAUAUAUUUUUUUUCGUAAAUUAAAAAAAUAUUAUAUGAAUUCAAAUUCACGAUUGUAACAUAAAAGAAACAAAUAAUAUACAAAAAUAUCAAUUAACUUUACAUAAUGAAGUUUUUCUACUACGUCUUUUUCAAUGGAUAAUAUAGCUAAGCCAUUCAAUAUAUUUUGUGACAUAAUUGACUUGAUCAACUUCAAUUUUGAAAAGAUUCUUGCUGCGGAGGCAACCGUGACUGGUACAAAAUAAUGUAAGCAAUCCAUGCAACUGGGAAACAACGAUAUAAGUCCUUCAAAUAAUUCAACACUUUGAAUUGGCCUUUUUGUAUCUUAUGGUAAAGUUUCUCUCAUGAUUUGUAAUUCGGGGAACAAAUCAUUCCCAUUAAUAAUAGAAAUAUCAUUAUGUUUCAUCAAACCUUCAAGAUUCCUACAACUGUCAUCAUUUGCAGUCUUCAACUUCUCCAAAUUGAAUAAAAAUUCAAAAAUUUCUUCUUAUGUGUGAAAUUGUUCAAAUCUACUUUUUAACUUAACAAAAUUGCUCUCUCAUAGGAAAGUUUCGAGUCCUAGUAUCUGUGUAGUGUGUGUCAGUUUAGUAUAUACCAUCGCUCCUCUCAAUAGAUCUAACCAAAUUAAGAAUUAAAUGAAAUUAAAUGAAAAUUUGAAAAUGCAGUCCACACGUGUAGUAGAUAUGAGCCAAUGUCUAUCUGGAAAAACUGUCUACAAGGAAAUUGUCAAAAUUAAGUUUAAUAUUUUACACGCCAAGAUAAAAAAAAAAUUAAAAACUACCCAAAGUUAGUCAACAUUACCCAUUUCAUUAAAAAGUAAUAGAGAUAUUCUAAUUGAUGACCUAAUUCAUUUUAUAUAUACAGCAUAAACAGCUCAUAUAACAUACUUCUACAACGUAUUAGGUCAUUAAUUUGUACAAUUUUAGACAAUAUACCUUUAUUUUAAUAUAAUAAAAGGAUCGCGUUUUAGAAAUGAAUAAAUAAGGGAGACUGCUUGCAAAUUUCUGUUUGGUGACUAUCAAGCAUGUUUAUAUUUCGGCUUAGUCAAAAACACCGGCCAAAAAACCAAUAAGAAACAAAUAUGAACAAAUCUAGCUAAAAUCAUCACAAAGAGGAACAAACCCGGCUUUGUUUGUACUGUUCUCUGUCUUUUUAAAAGUUUUGCAAUGAAUUGAAAUUUAAAAAAAUAAAAAAUAAAAAAUUUCAGCUCGGUGACUAUCAAUAUUGAGACUGCUUGCAUAUAAAAAUAUUGAGAACUUGGACAUGGACUUGAAAAUUUGAAAAUGUAGAGAGUGAAGACAUCACCAAAUCAGCAUCCUAGGAAAGCACUCGUCAUCACGUUCGUCUUUGGCAUGCUGCGUUUUCUAUUUUCUUAUUUAUUUCUCAACGCAUGGCCAUGAAAGCUUCACGUAAUCCAAAACAAAUAUGUAAAGCAAGUGCGUCAUAUAAAACCACAAAUUUACGGUUAGAAGACUUGGAUAUUUGUUUAGCAUCAUGACGUGUGUUUCUAGGUCAUGUUGUCAAAUAGCAACACACCAACUUUUAUUUUUAUAUAAAAGAAUUAUAAAUUGAUAAAAAUUAUGAUUAUUUUCUUUUGACAUAUAUAUAUACAAGCCUCUCUGUAAGGGCUUCUGUGUCUGCGAAAAGGCUUUUUUUAUUUUUAUUUUAUUUUUAUUUAUUUUAUUUAUAAAUUUUAAUUUAUUUUAGAAUUAAAAAAGAUAAUGAGUAGUUGUGUUCCAUUAAAAUAGGAUCCAUUAUCUGAUUUUGAUUUUGAUUUUGAUUUUAUUUAAAUAUAAAAAAGUGUUAAUUUACUGUAUUAUCCUCAUUUAAUUAAUAAUUUUAAUUCUUAAUGUUUGCAUUAACCAAGGGCAUUUUCUGGUAAUUUGAAUAUUUCACCAUUCUCUAGCUUUUGCUUUAUAUAUACUAGCCUCUCUGCACGCGCUUCUGCGCCUGCGAGAGGUUUUUUUUUAAAAAAUUUAAAUUUAUUUUAGAAUUAAAAAAGAUAAUAGAUAGUUGUGUUCCAUAAAAAUAGGAUCCAUUAUCUGAAUUUUCUUUUAAUUUUAAUUUUUUUAAUAUGAAAAAUUGUGAAUUUAUCAUAUUAUCCUCAUUUAAUUAAUAAUUUUAAUUCUUAAUGUUUGCAUUAACCAAUGACAUUUUUUGAUAUUUUGAAUGUUUCACCAUUCUCUGCCUUUUGCUUUAUAUAUAUAGAUAGAAGAUGAAUCAAAUAGAUGUUUCCCUAGCGGAAAAUAAAAUAAAAUAAUCAUACAUGUCCUAAUUUUACAAGAAAUGUAUGGAUGGAUUGAUAGCUCAUCUAUUUGAUGCAAAAAUAAAAAAGACCACUCUUAGAUUUGUAGUUCAUAACAUACAUGGCCUAGCUAAAAAUAUAUGUGGAAUGAGUGUCAAAUGAUUUUAACGCAAUAAGUUACGUUGUACAAUAAUAUUUUGAUAUAAAUAUAAAACGGCGUAAAUCAGACAAAAAAUAUUACAAAUAUUUGAUACGAAUAUGAAAUAAUUGAACUUGAGCAAUGGGACGGAAAGAAUGGAAAACAACCUCUACUCACACUCAAUAAGGUUAUUCAUUAGUAUUUUAUAAAAGAGCACUUUCUAAAGUGCUUGAUGAAAUGCCUUAAAAAACUAAGAUAAACAUUUGAUCGUAUGUAUAUUCUUGCAUUUACCCAACAAGAACAAAAAAAGAAUUUUCUGAAUUUGCCACUACCCUAACUAGGUAAGAAUUUAAAUUCCAUGCUGCAUAUGUAUAGCAAAUUUACUUGACGUAGAAAAGGAAAAGGAAAAUGAAGAAUAGGAAACAAAAUUCAAAAAAGAAAAUUUCAAAUAAUUUCAUAUCAAUAUUAAAGGCUGAAAGACCGUACACGGUACACCAGUCAAUACACAAAAACCGAAUAUGCCCCUACUUUGCAAAUCCCAGUGUUUGCGCCAAAAUUGGAAUCACAGUCCCGGUAAAUUUCCAAAAUAUCCCUAACACGUGGCAAAUUCUUCCAGCGAGUACACGAUAAAAGCGAUCUUGGCGAGUACAAAAUCGUUUCGUUUCAUCUUCUUCGACAUUUGGCUGGCACAGCGUAGCUGUCUAUAUAAAGGCAGGACAACCUAGACGGUGGAAAUCAAAUUUCGACUCUCCUAUUUGUAUGAAAUUCUGUUUCCAUUUCCAAACCAAAUACUCACCAAAUCCCUAAAUUCUUGUGCAUCCAAAACGCAGCCAAAUCCCGCGUUUCGAUUCCCCGAUCUCUCCAGAGCCGCUGCGAAUUCCGGCGAUUCUGGUGCGUGCUUUUACCGGAGGGAAUUGAAAUCCGAUCGCGGCUGUUUGAAUACAAAGAAACGAGAGUGAAUUUCGAAUCGUCAGGCACAAGAAAGGCGCAUGAGCUGGUUGGGAAAGCUGGGUUUCACAAAGAGGAAAUUGAAUUCCAAUUCUAAUCACUUCAUUACGUGUCUCUUAAUCUUUAUCCUUCAUUAUUCCCCCCAAUUGCCUCUUACUCUGCUUAAAUUCGAGAAGAAAGCCCUCGAUCCAUUAUUAUCAUUAUCCAAUCUUAAUUUUAAUCCCAAUUUUAAUCGUAAUAUCAAUAACGCUUUGAAUCACUAUGGCGUCUGGAGCCAAGAGUAAUCCCCAAUUGCGCAGAGGUCCAAUCACAUUUUCCAUUCUUUUCUCUUCCAAUUUCUUUUUUGGGUUUGAAAGUUCAUUUUUUUAACCGUUUUACUGCUUUGGGUAAUUUCUAAAAUAAUUUUUUAAAUUUUGGAUUGAAUAUUUUUAUUUAAUAAUUUGUACAAAUGCAGCUGUGUGCUAUUCGAAUGGUGACAAGAAGCAGACAUCAGGCGGAACGACGACGUCCCCAUCUGUAAUAGUGAUAGGUGGUGGUAUGGCUGGAGUUUCAGCUGCACGUGCUCUUCACGAUGCCUCAAUUCAGGUACCCUACCCACAUUGAAAUUCCAACUCAAUGCUUUGUACAUUGAAGUGUGCAAUUAGGGUUUUUAAAUUUUUUGAAUUUUGAUGGUCAGGUUAUGCUGUUGGAGUCUCGAGACAGACUGGGUGGUCGAGUUUACACCGAUUACUCAUUUGGUUUCCCUAUUGACUUGGGUGCAUCAUGGUAAGCUGAGAAUGUGACUUGCUUCCUUGUGUUUGGAAUUUGAAUUGCUUGUAUUUGGAAUUUGAGUUGCUUGUAUUUGGCAUUUGAAGCCUAAAUCCUUGAUCUUUGUUUAUGCUUCAGGUUGCACGGAGUAUGCAAAGAGAAUCCAUUGGCACCAUUGAUUGGGAGAUUGGGGUUACCCUUAUACCGCACGAGUGGGGAUAACUCUGUCUUAUAUGACCAUGACUUGGAGAGGUACAUAAUAUCUUCCUUCAACUUAUAGUUCCCUUGUUGUAGGAAAUGCUGUGAAUUUUAAAUGUCAUUUAAGUUUGGGUUGUCGAUAUGCAUUGUUAUGGUUUUAGUGUGGCUUGGUUUUUGUUGGUUGUUUUGAAUUGAAUGGUUCGUACUCGUAUAAGUUGUUUUAUUUCUCCAACCUUCUAGUACUGUGCCAAGAUUUGCUUUUAACAGUUUAAAGCACAACAGUCUACAAUGUAAUAUAUAUUAUUUAUGGUCAAUACAUUCAAGAAUGUGCUUUGAUACAAAUGAUUUUAACACAUUGCUUCAUCUUUCUGUGAAGUUGGCUUUUUGUCCGAGCCUUUAUAUUGUAGGGUGAUAUCUGACAUUGGUAGUAAAUUCAUGUUGUCUUUGCAGCUAUGCACUUUUUGAUAUGGAUGGGAAGCAAGUUCCUCAAGAUUUGGUCACCAAAGUUGGUGAAGUGUUUGAGAACCUUUUGAAAGAGGCAAGUCAUCCUAUGUUUAUUUAUUUGUUUUAAGGCUAUAGCCUUGUGACACGAAAGGUUUCGCUUCUAUCUUAACCCUCAAAUAGUGGCUUGCCAUUGUGGGCAUUCUUUGACAUCAUUUUUUGUUUUCUUAGUGCAGACAGAUAAGGUAAGAGAGGAAUUUAGUGAAGACAUGUCCAUCACUCGUGCCUUUUCAAUUGUUUUUGAAAGGAACCCGGAAUUAAGGUACCAUAAUUCCUCCAAGCCACAUUUAUUUUUUUAUUUUUUCAGCUUUUGACACUCUGUUGGUGUAUAAAUAGUUUACCAAAAUUACUUUCAUAUGUGUCGUACAGGUUGGAAGGAGUUGCACAUAAGGUUCUGCAGUGGUACUUGUGCAGAAUGGAAGGUUGGUUUGCAGCAGAUGCUGAUACGAUUUCACUUAAAUGCUGGGAUCAGGCACGCUUAUCAUACCUCAGAUUACUUUUCAUUACACAUUACACUGUUUGAAUUUUCAGUUCAACUAUAGACAUUGAUAUCUUUGUGCUUAAAUAUGGCAUAUAACAAGUUAAUAACCUCGAAUGGCCAUUAAUUAGCAAUUUUGUUUCUCUCUUAUAUAGGAAGAACUGCUUCCUGGUGGUCAUGGCCUUAUGGUCAGGGGCUACCUCCCUGUUAUAAACACACUUGCCAAAGGUCUUGACAUCCGUUUGGGCCACAGGUAUGCAUCAGUUUUCUUUUUCAUAUUCUCCUAUAUAUGUUCUGCAAUCUGCUUGUAGCUUAAUCAACAAGCAUAUAACUUUUCUCCUGUUCUCAGGGUCACAAAAAUAGCAAGGCAAUAUAAUGGGGUUCAUGUAACAAUAGAAGAUGGGAGUACAUUUGUUGCAGAUGCUGCUGUUGUAGCUGUUCCUCUCGGUGUGCUUAAGGCAAAGAGCAUAUCGUUCGAGCCAAAGCUACCCAACUGGAAGGAAGAAGCCAUUGAUGACCUCGGAGUGGGAAUUGAGAAUAAAAUAGUAUUGCACUUCGAAAAGGUGUUUUGGCCAAAUGUGGAGUUUUUGGGAGUGGUUGCUGAAACAUCUUAUUGCUGCAGCUACUUUCUAAAUCUUCACAAGGCAACUGGUCAUUCUGUACUUGUUUAUAUGCCUGCAGGGCAGCUGGCUAAAGACAUAGAGAAAAUGUCUGAUGAAGAGGCUGCUAACUUUGCUUUUAUGCAACUCAAGAAGAUCCUUCCAGAUGCUUCUUCCCCGGUACUCCUUGUUUCUAACUUCUACUAGACUUUAUGUGAAAUUUGAUGAGUCUUAUUUAUUUUUGAGCUAUAACUAACUUAAUUGAUGCCUUUCCAAUUAUGCAGAUUCAGUAUCUUGUUUCUCGUUGGGGCAGUGAUGUUAACACGCUUGGGUCAUAUAGCUAUGACAUGGUUGGAAAACCCCAUGAUUUGUACGAGAAGCUAAGGGUCCCAGUGGAUAACCUAUUUUUUGCCGGAGAGGCAACAAGCGCGGACUUCCCAGGCUCUGUGCAUGGUGCAUUCUCUACUGGAAUGAUGGCCGCUGAAGACUGCAGGAUGCGUGUUCUGGAGCGAUAUGGGGAGUUGGAUUUAUUCGAGCCGGUCAUGGGCGAGGAGGCCAUGUCCAUCCCGCUUUUGAUCUCCCGCAUAUAACUUUCAGGCCACACCAUCCUACAGAUAUAUGAAUGCGAGUAUUGAAGAUAUGUUCAGGUUGGAUUGGGCGACAAACAAUAUUGCCAUUUUGAUUCGGCUGUCUGGGAAAGGUCGUGGAAAAUCACCGUUUUCCCUUGAAUGAAGCAGCCAAGCACUGGUGUAUCUGUUUGUUGCCCUCAUCUGUUUGGGCUUAUCUGUAUUUGCGCAAUCAUUGGACAAUCACUAAAUGAUAUGAAUCUAGUCUAAUAAAUAGCUAGUGGAAUAUUACAAUAAAUUGUCAUAUUAGAGGUCAAUAUAUCUAGUAUUUAAUUGGUGGGGAGGACGUUACAAUUUGUCAUGUUCAAAUCAAUGUGGGUUUUCUCUCUCUUCUGUAUCUUAUCUUAUGCAUGCUUGUCUGUCCGUUACCCAUAAUUAGAAAGGAAACUUUCUUCAACUGAUUUAUUGUCAGCAUUGGUGGAUUCUCUCAUUGGAUCCAUUAAAAACUUUUAAGGCUCUGUUUAAAGAAUAAUACUAGUCUUACACAUGAUGUGGCAGCGUAUGUACCAUAUCAUGUAAAAACUAGUUUUUGUUUUUCUAAUUUUAUUUAUUAAAAUACGCUUCAUUUAUUUAAUUGAUGUGACAUAUGAUAUGGACAUGUCACAUCAUGUGGUAUAGAAAUAUGAGAUAAAAAUGUGGUAAGUGUAGCCAAUAUAUUUACAAUUUGUGUAUGCCAAGAUUUUGUUGUUGAUACAAACAAUAUUCUACUUUAAUUUAAUGUAAACUACGGGGAGGGAAAUUUUAAUUCGGGUGCAAAGUAGUGAGCAAAUCCGCUAUAGUCAACUUGACUAACCUCAUGUAAUACCAAGAUUUGGACAAGAAAGAUAGGAAACAAAUAAAUUUCAAACGAGUCCUCACAUGUAGUUAUUUCAAAUACAUUCAUGUUCUUGUUUUCGUAGCAAAUAUGGCCUUGUUGCCAAAUUUUCUUUCAAAUUCCAGAUGGGUAUUUAAAUAACUAGAUGUAAUAUAUUUGGAAUGAAUUUGAAAUGACUAUAUCCAAUAGGGGUGGGCAUCGGGACCGGAAAACCGGAACACCGAACCGAACCGGUGAAAAAAAACCGGAAAACAAACCGGUUGACCAAAAAAGUCAACAAAUCGGACCGGAACCGGACCGAACCGGUUCCAACCGGUUCCGGUUCUGGUUUUACAUCUCUCCGCACCGGACCGGACCGAACCGGACUGGUCAUAUAUUUUAUAUUUAUAUUUUUACAAAAUUUUAAAAUCUAAUGCCAUUUUUUAACUUUUAUAAUCACUAAUUUUCCAAGUUCAACUUCAAAAAAUUUCUAAAUGUAUGAAUUGGAUUAUUUGUUCAUUUUUAAGCUAAAAAAAUAAGUUAUUUAUUAUAAUUUUUUUAUUAAAAAAAUUAAAAAAUUUUUUUUUAAAAAAAAAAAUUAAAAAAAUAAUAAAUUAAUAAUCCGGUUCAAAACCGGAACCGGUUAGAACCGAACCGGCCGGUGUUCGAAAUUUUUUUUGUCUAAACCGAACCGAACCAGACCGGUUAAAUAAUACCGGUUUCGGUUCCGGUUUGAGGUGAGAACCGGACCGAACCGGACCGCGCCCACCCCUAAUGUCCAAUGAGUCAUUUGGAAUCCAUUUGUUUUCUUCAUUUCCUUAUUCAAAUCUCGACAUCCAAAUGGAGACUUGAAAUUCUGAGCUAGUUUUCAAAAUUUAAUGUAUCAUUAAUCGAUUCGUAUUAAUAUUGAGAAAAUUGGACGCAGGACAAUAAUCACGUGAUAUUAGAGCAUCUACAAUCAUGCUCUCUAUAUUUUUUUUGUUAAAGUUUAGCUAAAAAUACAAAGCGUUAUUUUAGGAACUCUAUAAAAUUUGAACUCCAAUCAUACUCCCUAGUUUAAGGAGUCAUAAAUACUAUAAUUAUUUUUUUAAUUCAAUAUAAUUAGUCAAUCUCUAUACAAAAUAGGAAGCAUGGUAGGAGUUGUACUUUCCCAAUUCCUCCCUAAAAUUUGUCCAAAAAGGUGAUUUAGAGAGCCUAUUAUGGAUGCUCUUACACUUGAGAGAGAAAAUGAGAGAAUGGAAAGAUAUACAACUCUAGAAAAUGGAUCUUUGAUUUUCAUUUAGAUAUAGUUGCUCAGUCAAAUCACAUAAAUUUACACAGCUGAGCAAAAGUCGACAUAUUUAAGCAAAUGAAUUGCUAAAACCCUGCCCUCCUAAAAAAGAAUAAAAGAAGAUUAAUCUCCGAAUAUUUCAAGUUCUCUGCGUUGCACUGAAAAUUUGAAUUAGCUUCUAUUUCCGUCGCUUUCUUAUUUUCUCAAAACAUGCUCAAAAUAUAAUUUUCUUUCAACUGAUUCUCGUACCUUCCUUCCGAUAGAUGAAUGAGACCUACAAAUUUGAAUAUAAAUAUCCAACACAGAAGUUCAGCAGGCCCCAAUUUCCAAAUCCCUCUUUUAAAGGUUCCUGUAUAUGAAUUAAAUGCUUGUUAGAUUGGUUGCCUUGCUUAAAAUAAAUGAUAUUUAGAACCAAAAAUUACAAAAACGCAUACCCUUUAAUAGAGGGAGGCAUCAGAGAAUGGAGCUGAAGCUUUCAAUGGGAUCAGAUUCUUCCAGCAUGGAAGCUGCCUGGAAGCAGUCGAUGGCGUCUGCUAUUCGACCAUCAUCUCUGUGAAUCAUCCCCAAGUAAUACCAAGCCUUUCGAUUGUUAGGAUCGAUCCUUAAUGCAUCCGAGAGUAAGCUUCUUGCCACAGGCAAUGCUACUGAGCCCAUCUUUGACAGAAGAGCGGCAAUCAAAAUCUUGCACGGAACAUAAUAGGGUUCUAGCAGAAGAGCAUCAAUAUAAGCUGCUAGAGCUUCUUGAAUUUGUCCACGUCCUUCUAAGAUAACACCUAAUAUAAUUGCACAGCAAGUAACUUAACAGUAAACAUACCGCACAUCAAAAUAUCAAAUUGCACUGCUAUACAAGUAAAAGGUUUUUAUGCCAUGAUAGGCUCCCUAGUGUUAGAAGAGCGUGAAAGUGCUGUUAGGUCAUAUAGGCCCUUGUUUAAAACUAGCCCUUGAAAAGUUGAAAGACAUUUUGUCUAAAGCGAGCGUUUUCCACAGGUCCACCGCUUGCAUUGUCAUGUAUAUCACUUAUCAAGAAGUACAAUAUAAAUGCCUCAAAUUCAUUAAUGUAGUAGAUGAGUUUAGUACUUGCCUUCUGUGUGCAGCAUUUCUGCAGAGUGCCGCUUCAGUUCACUGGCUUUACUCAAACAUAUUUCUGCAUCCUUCCAAUGUGAUAGGCUAGAGUAUAAGUCUGCCAAACCAUGCCAAACUUCGAAUUCAUCGACUUUAUCAUCUUCAACCUAUCAAAAAGAAAAGACCAACAUAAACUUAAAAGGAACAACUUGUUAAUCAGGAGUUCCUACUAGUAUAUAUUUUCACGUUGAGCAAGAAUCUUUAACAAAUAAUUUCCGAGAAAGCAACUUAACCCGGCAUUCACUUACAAACCUCAAGAUCUAAAAAGUCAACUCCAUAAAACAAUCAGAUACUUCAAAUUUCUAAAAUCUAAACUACUAUCACAUUAAAUUAAACCAUUGUAGAAAGAAAUGAUUAAUGGGCUAAACUUCCUCCCAGGACAUUGCAGACUCACAAUAAUACCACUUUCCCACCACUACCAAUAAUAGCUUAGGGCUACAUUUGGCAGAAAUUUGAAUAGUGAAGAAUGUAAAGCAGAAGUCAGAGUUUUAACCUGAUUACUAAUUCUGAGAGGCCCAAAAGAUUUUCUUUGGGCUUGAACCAAUGCAAGAAGGUAACGAUAAGUUUCAAUUGCAUCCAUGGGUAAUGAUUGAGAGAUUUUCAGCUUUGCUUUAAGCCUGAGCAAUGGCCCUUGUUCCCAUUUUGCGGUCUCAUCCAAAGCAGCAUCAGUGACCACGUGAGCCUCUGAAUAUCGCUGUUGAGCAGACAAAACAAGAGCAAGCAAUCUCCAACCUUUUAUUAUGGAGCCCCCUGUUCGAUCAAUGAACUGUUUUGCAUACCGCAAAGCAGCAUUUAGAUUCCGAUGCUCUGCAUACUGAACACCCAACUCAAAAAUCAAAUCUAAAUUAUUCUGCUCCAAAGCAAUGGCUUCAUUUAGCGAUUUCAGUGCUUCAGACUGAAGCCGGGACCUCUCAAAGUCAGAGGAAGAAACUUUUGCUUGUUUCCCCAAACAAAGACCCAACAAGCGAAGACCCACACCCUUUAAAUGUUCAUCCAUCCCCUGAGCACUGCUAAUAGCCCUUUGUGCAUAUCCCACUCCCUCAGCCGCAACAUGGGAAUCCUCACUGCAGGUUUUGGCGGCUAAUAACAAUGCUGUGAGUUCAUCUGGUCGUUCAUGUUUGUGUAAAGACUUCCUUAAUAGAUUCAAAGCCUCGUUGUUGUGUCCUGCUCCACUAUAACAAAGAGCUAAUGAAUUCCAACGAUCAACACGGUGAUAUACUCCAGGCAUGAUCUCUUCCAGCUGCUUUGCUAAAACUGAAGUUUGGUUGCAUAAAGAUAACGCAAAUGUUAGAUGUUCCAUAAGCGAUGGGUCACAUUUGGUUUUACCUAGGGAUAACUUUCUCAAAAGGAUCAUCAAAAGCAGAAUUGCUUCCUCCAGAUUAUUUUUGGGCACAUAUGAACCUUCAACCUGAACACCUAAACUGGGUGGACCAGCCUCUACUCCACUAUACAACAAAAACACAGCAAAUCCUUUCUGAAUUCUUGCACAGCAGUCGUUGUCAAGGUUCCAUUGACUAAGUAGGGCACGCCUGUAAGCAGAUAUUGCUUCAUGAUAGUAACCAGCUUGCUUCCAAAGCUCAGGAAGGAGCUCUACAGCUUGGCUGACUGUCUCUUGCAAUCUACCAUCCACUUGCGCAUCAUGCAUGCCCUGAUGGAAAAUUUUUUCCACAGCAUCAAGCACAUUUUUGCAUUCACUAGCAGCCUCUGCAGACACAUAAAACAAGGUUCCAUUUGUACUCUAAUUCAAACUUGAAAAGUUAAAAAGAAAGGAAAACCAUCAUAUCAAUUGCUGGAACAGUACCCUACCAGUUAAUCUCCCAAGCUUUUGAAGAGACUUGGAUUUUAAGUAUAUAGCAUCAAGAACGAGACUAGCAGCAUGCUGUGAGACUGUAUGCUGUGAGUCAGAACGGGUUCGGCCCUUCCUAGAAGGUGUUUUCUCAGCAAGAGAAGGUUGCAAUCGCUCUAUGGCAGCUUGAAGAUCGAUGCCAUCGAACACACGAAGUGCACCUUCUAGGUUACCUCUUUGGUACUCCAGCUUUCCAAGAAGGGCUCUUGCUUCCUAUAGAUUAUCAUAAAUCAAUGUUUUUUUUUUCUUGGAUAAGUGAUAACCAAUCAUCAAGCACUACUCUAACUUGUGCAUAUAGCCGUACAGACACAGAUAUAAUUAUGGAAAAGAUGGUAAAUUCCAGAAUAAACCAAGAUUUUAAAUGACUAAUACUUCAAAUGAUGAAAUUAUAAAAGAAUAUCCUGGAAUUAUUUUUAUUAUAACCUGAAUCAGAUUCCAAAUUUCUGAUGGACUGGGAAACAUUAGGGCCGACACCUCAAGUAUACUAUAAGCACUAUUCUUAAAGGGGAGGAGGUACUGUUAGGUCCAUAGGUCAUACAAAAUUUUUACACAAAAACAAACAGAUGAUAAGCAUAGAAUAACCUCAAAAUUGAGUGAUAACCCUUCUCGUAAUGAAGAUUCUGCCUCCUGAAUAUUUCCUUCAUCAAGCUUGGCCUGAACAUCUGUUGCUUUCAUGGAAUUCCCAUUUGCAGAGAAUUCAAUCACCAUGCCUUCUUCAUACUCGCCAGAUUCCAUGGCGUGGCUUCCUACUCUUCCUCACCUUAUUCCACAAAUUUCACUUUUGUCCCAGUCUUUUAUCCAUUCAACACUUAGCUGACAAAUAAAUAAAAUGCUGCAGUUCUUAGAAAUUGAACAUAAUUUAAGUAUAAAAACUAACUAUUUGUGUAACAAAAUUCAGCAACACAUUUCAUCUCAAUUAUGCUCAAAUAUAUGACUAAAACCUAUUCCCUUUCCGAAAAUUUCUCAGCAACCAAACAGAUGCUUUAGUAUAACAUUAAUGAUAUCUAGGUAAUCUACACAUUUAUGUAACAGAAAAUCCCAGGGGCAAACUACCAAUCUUUAGAUCCAAUGUAAUCCAAUUAAACUGAAAAAGAAAAUUUGAAGUUAUAGGUAAUGCUGGGUUGCUAAGAAAAUGUAAGAAUUGGGAAGAAAAGUAAUAAAAAUUACAAAUUUACAGAGCUUUCACAAUGCGGGGUCCAAAUAGCAACAUUUUCAGUCAAUAUUCAUUGAGGUGACAAAAUUUUCGAAAGAGCGAAAGAACACCAGUUACAAAAGCAGCACUCAUAAUUUCGUUUCAACUCGUUUUCAUUACAUUGUCUUCCAUUUUCUUUCGUUUUUUCUUUAAAUUUUCCCAUCAAGCAAACAGCUUUGAAAUGCCUAGUGCGUUGUGAUUGUUACCUUGCCGGUUGCAUCGGAUUCAGAUCACGGUUUGCUGAAAAUGACGGAAGCUUGAAAUUGCGCGGUGGAAUGUGACCGGUGGGGAAUCAGCUACAACGACAUGUUUGAUGUGUGAGAAAAUUCAGGGCUUUGUGAGGUUGAGAGACCUGAGAGAGAGAGAGAGAGAGCGAUGUGUGAUCUGAAUGUUAAACUAUUCAUUUAAUGGUUUUUUGGAGCUACAACCAUAUAAUAACGUUCUUCUUCUCCUUCUCCUCCUUCCCCUUUAUUUUAUUUCAUUUUGGGGGUAAAUCUGAAGUUUAAAGGGAAAUAGCUUAAAAUGCCACCUUUUUUAUAAUUUUAACUAAAAAUACCAUCCCUUCCCAAUUUUUUUACAACUACCACCUAUAAAUACAUUUUUAUUGUGGAAUUAUUGUACCCAUUUCAGUUUUUCAGAAAUUGGGUUCUCUCUCAACUCUCUUGGCUCUAUCUCUCUUCAGCCCUUCUCUCUCCCUCGUGUAACUCUCUCUCUCUCCGACGCAAUCGUCUUUCUCCCUCAGCGGUGGCUAUUCAUCCAAGCUUAACUCCACGAUUCACAUCCACGAGGUACUGUUCAUCUUCCUUGUCUUUGAAAUUUGGGGUUUUUGUGAAUUUGGUUUAUGGUGUAUGGAUUUGUAAGAAAUUGAUUUAGGGGUUUCUUCGAAAUUGGUUUUGGGUCUCAAUUCUUUGUGCCCAAGUACUAAUUAAUACCAGUCAUGGAGAAUUGUCACUGAAUGAAGCAUCCGUAGAGAAUUGUUGGAUGAAAAUAUCUUUGCUAUAUUCAUGCUACUUCCUCUUGCGGGUGGUUUAUGUUGAGUUAAUAUUUAAAUUUUAAAAUGCAUUCUUUUUUCAAUUUUGAUUUCAACGUUUUCUUCAAAAUUGUUUGUGUGUAAAUGCAAAAUAAAGGCAUAGAUUCUAAUUGGACUAUUCAUUUUGCCCAAAAGCAUUCCUGAUGCUUGAUCUUUGUCAGUGUAACAAUCAUGUUAUGGAAUUAUAAGUUUGCACAUACAAUUUGAUGGUUGUCUAAUUAUAUGUUUCAUGUUUUGGAAAAUUUCUGGUAUUUCUUGAAACCAACCAUGGCUGACUAGUUCACAUUCUCAUUAUCAAUUUUUUUUUCUUUCCCAAUUUGCUUUAUCCGCCAUAUAGUAUUGUGAUUUUAAUAAUUAUUUUUCUUAUAGAUGUUCACAUAUUAACUGGUGAAAAUAAUUGAACAGAGAAAAUCCAAUGAUGCAGAAGUCGAGUCACUGCGAGAGGAAUACCAUCAAAGGGUUGCAACACUUGAAAGGAAGGUAGGUCUUCUCAUAAAGUCUUGUUUAUAAUCGUGCUUGGAUUGAUCUAGGUGUUAUAUGUGCCCCUUAUGUUUUUGAUGAAAUUGGUACUUGCCUAUUUUUAAUUCAGCUCCUGAUAAUUGGAGGGGCUAUGCCAACUUAUGAUUGCAGGUGUAUGCUCUUACAAAGGAAAGGGACACGCUUCGGCGGGAGCAGAAUAAGAAAAGUGAUGCAGCUGCUCUUCUGAAGGAAAAGGAUGAAAUAAUUAAUCAAGUUAUGGCUGAAAGUCUCUUUCUGUCCCUGUCUGUCUCUGUUUCUCUUGAGAAGCUCAAUAUGUUCUACAUAUUUUGUGCCUCAUAGUGAAUUUCCGUUACUUGUAAAUCAUGAUUUCUUUAGCGUAUUUAAUUGCAUUGUGUUUUUCGUUUCGGGUAGAACAGAGUUUUCAAUGAUAGGAUUUAUUUGGAAAAAAGGAAUUCUGGUAGUUAUGCUGUGUUCUCUAUUUUUGCAUGAAAGUUGAAAGUAAGAUGUCCCAUCUAUAUGUGUGACAGCUUCAGGAUUAUGGCCUUCGUCUACUGAAAGGAAAUUGCUAUUUGAUCCUGUUAUAUCUUUUAUGGGACAAACAAAUGAGGGAAGUAGUGUUGAUUCAUCACAGAAAGCUGAGUCUUCAGAGCAUCCGCCAAAGGUUGACAAAUCAUCAGGGGAAUCUGAAUCUCCACAAAAACUCUCUACUGUUGAGGCAAAGGAAGGGGUCAAAACAGAAACUUUACAACACUCUUCAACUGAACAGAUGGCUGAUAAGGAGGAAACUGAAGUUGUCAAGGAAGAAACAGAUGAUAAGCAUGCUGCGACGGUGGAGGAAACAGAGACUGUGGUAGCAGAGCCUGAAAAAUCUGAAUCUGAAUCUGAAAAAUAGAAAAUCUAUAUGAUGGGGGUUUUCUGGCUAGCUAAAAAUCUGUGAGAAAUGAUGAAUCCAUCUGAUUGCAGCCUAUUUAAUGUUUAAUACCUUCAUUAAAAAAAGGUUGUUGAUAGUGCUUUGACUAUCUUGCAGAUUAUAAUGGCAAAACCAGCAGGUGGCCCUAGUGAGAGAGAUCAGCAUGCAGGGAUGGAUGAGGACUAAUUUUGUGUGUAUGACAAUUGACUAUCUUUGCUUGUAUUGCUCUAUGUUAGGGAUCUUUUGUUCCAUUUUAAUAACAAUUUUGUUUAGGAGAAAAAGAAACAUAUUGCAGUUCAUGCUUUGUAAAUGCCAUCUUCUGUUAUGAUGGACACGUGGUAUGCUCUUGUUGGGUAGGUUUUGGAUUGAAACCAUGGUCGAGUGCUUGAGCCAUGUUUAGUGUGAAGCUUGAAUGGAUUUUCUUUUCUGUUGUAUUUGGCCCUUGUCUUUUCAAGCAUGCCAAAAAUCAUCCUAGUUUUGUAAUAUGUGGUUUGUGUCCAAUUAAUUUACUGUGGACCUUGCAUUUUUGUACCCAAUAUUUGAUAGUUGCCUUCUUUUGAACGAAGAUUCAUUGAGGGAGAGAAUUACUUUCCUUUUGAAUAUGAAUCGAUGUGCAACUCCAACUAUCAUUUCAAAGGUCAACAUCAAUUCAUGCUAAUAUAAGGAUGGAUAACAAUUGUCGUGUCCAUGAGAUUCGAAUUCAGGAUUACUUUUCAACAAAGUGGAGACUCUGUUAUUAGACCAAAUGGCCAUUGACAUACGAUAUAAUAGCAAUAUUAGGCCAAUACAUGUACACUAUAGAGGCAAUAUUAAAGCAAUAUAACCACAAUACGAUAGCAAUAAUAUUACAAUAUCACCUAUAAAAAUAUAAUUAUUGUCCACUUAUUGCUGAUUUUGCACAUGUUCAGAAAUUUUGUUCUCUCUUAGCUCACUCGGCUCUCUCUCUCUGGCACAUCUCUCUCUCUGGCACAUCUCUCUCUCUCUUUGGUAUCUGUCUAUCGCAGCUCUCUAUCUCUCUCUCUCUCUCUCUCUCUCUCUCUCUCUCUCUCUCUCUCUCUAGUGCAACUCUCUCUUUGCUCUCUUUCUGUAGCGCAGCUCUCUCUCUGUCUCUCUCUAGCUUCGUUCUGCCUCUUUCUCCCCUUAUUCGCUCUCUGUCUCUUUAUUCAUACCUUCCUUUUUUUGUAAAUUAUUUUUUAGUUGUUAUUAUUUUUUAAAAUAAUUUCUUACAAUGUCUUACGAUGCAAUUAUGAUGCACCUGACUGCCUGUUUUUGAAAGGCACGUUGUUUCUUUCUCCUCCUCGUCUUCUUUUUGAAUGCAAUAUGGCCCAAACAGUAAACCCAUUGAUGAGCUGUAGUCAAUAUACAUACACUAGGUCAAUAUAAUGGCAAUACGAUAGCAAUAGCAUUACAAUAUACAUGCAAUAUGAUGGCAAUAUGCAUACAAUAUUAGUACAAUACACAGGCAAUAUUAGUACAAUACACAUGCAAUAGGACAGCAAUAUUAAGUCAAUCUACAUACAAUACACACACAUCCAUUACAGACUACAAUUUAGACAUGGAAAAUAAAUCGCCACCGAACCCUAACAGUACUAUCCCAAGAAGCAAAAAUUAUUUCUUUCAUAAAACUUGACAAUUCAAUUGUUAUUACAUAGUCAACCAAUCUUUGCUCUAUUACAUACAUACUUCCCACCUAUAAUUAUAAAUAAUGGAGAGCUCACAAAUUCUACUAAUUUGAUCUUAACUUCAUCAAUUUGUUCUUCGUUGUAUGAGUUAGCUCUCCCUUCUUGCACAUUUUCCAAGUUGUUCUGUUCUCCUCCCGUGUAGCAAUAUCAGCAACAACAGGUUAUCUACAUAUCUGAAAUCAUAACUGCACAUGAUUCUCAAUUAGCAAAGAGGAAAACCAUUUUCUUUUAUAACUUCGGUUCUGAAAUAUAUAACAAAAUGCAAAUAUCUUUGCUUCUGAAAAGGAGCAAAAGUUUGUCAACCAAUUCAUAGUAAAAACGAAGAAACUAGUGAACAUAACCAGAAAAAUGCUAACCUGCAAAACCAACUCCAAUACUUUAACCACAUCAUUAAUACUUGAGAUUUUCUUCUCAUGGAUUAUGAUUAGAGGAUUUUCCAAUUCCUAUCAGCACAUACACAAGUUUGAAGAUAAUCAGCAUCAAGCAAAAAGGGACUUGAGGUGCUGCUAACUUUAACAAGCAGCCCUCUAACAGUUUCAAGACAUAGUUAUCGCUGAGUCAAACUAAAACUUACACAUUUCUGAUUGUUCUGGUUGGUGAUGAAAUAAGGGGAUAUGUAGCCCCUGUCUAGCUUCAUUCCCUCAACAACCUCCAGCUCGUUGUCCAAUGUUUUCCCAUCCUGCAAAAAUUAACAUAGUGUGAAGCUUACAUGUUUUGGGUAUCAUUUGGGAAUAAAAAACUAAAAUAAAAUUAUUUGCCCUCCAAUAUAUUUCUGUACAAAUUUCAUAAGACCCAUACAUACCUCACUUUAAAACAACAAUAAAAAGAAGCUGAUAUCAUCCAUAUUUCAGCCCUUGCAAUAUGGUAACUACACUAAUAUGCCUAUGACAAAUCUGCUGACUAGAAACAGACAUAUGCAAAUAAAGUCACAUACCCAUCAGCACAGCCACUGUCCAGGUCGUGAUGAGAUACAAGCCAAUAGACGACCACAACCAAAUUGCUCUUCAAUAUGCUGGUCAAGAGUUGUCUUUAUCAAACGAAAUCAGAGAACCACAAUUUUAAAGAUUCCAACAUAAAUGAAUUACCUGAAGUUUAGUAAUCAACCCUUUCUUCUCUUCUUCAAACUCUCUGAUCUAGUAUUCAGAGAAAAAAAUAUAAGAAUACCUAGCAGUGAAAGGAUUAAAGAAUGACAAAAUCAGACAAUGAAUAAACCGGCUAGCAUACCUGAGCCCUUAAUUUCCUAAUCUGUCCUUCUUGAGCAGCCUGCUUUUUUGAAAGCUCUUCACCUGGUACAUAAAAAUGCAAAAAUGAAGGAAUUUCCAUAAUUAUUGAUAUGAUUGCAUAAAGAAACCCUCCUCGCAUCCACAAUAGAACAUUGGCUACGUUGAAAUUCACUAUGAGGCACAAAAUAUGUAGAACAUAUUGAGCUUCUCAAGAGAAACAGAGACAGACAGGGACAGAAAGAGACCUUCAGCCAUAACUUGAUUAAUUAUUUCAUCCUUUUCCUUCAGAAGAGCAGCUGCAUCACUUUUCCUAUUCUGCUCCCGCCGAAGCGUGUCCCUUUCCUUUGUAAGAGCAUACACCUGCAAUCAUAAGUUGGCAUAGCCCCUCCAAUUAUCAGGAGCUGAAUUAAAAAUAGGCAAGUACCAAUUUCAUCAAAAACAUAAGGGGCACAUAUAACACCUAGAUCAAUCCAAGCACGAUUAUAAACAAGACUUUAUGAGAAGACCUACCUUCCUUUCAAGUGUUGCAACCCUUUGAUGGUAUUCCUCUCGCAGUGACUCGACUUCUGCAUCAUUGGAUUUUCUCUGUUCAAUUAUUUUCACCAGUUAAUAUGUGAACAUCUAUAAGAAAAAUAAUUAUUAAAAUCACAAUACUAUAUGGCUGAUAAAGCAAAUUGGGAAAGAAAAAAAAAUUGAUAAUGAGAAUGUGAACUAGUCAACCAUGGUUGGUUUCAAGAAAUACCAGAAAUUUUCCAAAACAUGAAACAUAUAAUUACACAACCAUCAAAUUGUAUGUGCAAACUUAUAAUUCCAUAACAUGAUUGUUACACUGACAAAGAUCAAGCAUCAGGAAUGCUUUUGGGCAAAAUGAAUAGUCCAAUUAGAAUCUAUGCCUUUAUUUUGCAUUUACACACAAACAAUUUUGAAGAAAACGUCGUUGAAAUCAAAAUUGAAAAAAGAAUGCAUUUUAAAAUUUAAAUAUUAACUCAACAUAAACCACCCGCAAGAGGAAGUAGCAUGAAUAUAGCAAAGAUAUUUUCAUCCAACAAUUCUCCACGGAUGCUUCAUUCAAUGACAAUUCUCCAUGACUAGUAUUAAUUAGUACUUGGGCACAAAGAAUUGAGACCCAAAACCAAUUUCGAAGAAACCCCUAAAUCAAUUUCUUACAAAUCCAUACACCAUAAACCAAAUUCACAAAAACCCCAAAUUUCAAAGACAAGGAAGAUGAACAGUACCUCGUGGAUGUGAAUCGUGGAGUUAAGCUUGGAUGAAUAGCCACCGCUGAGGGAGAAAGACGAUUGCGUCGGAGAGAGAGAGAGUUACACGAGGGAGAGAGAAGGGCUGAAGAGAGAGAUAGAGCCAAGAGAGUUGAGAGAGAACCCAAUUUCUGAAAAACUGAAAUGGGUACAAUCAUUCCACAAUAAAAAUGUAUUUAUAGAUGGUAGUUGUAAAAAAAUUGGGAAGGGAUGAUAUUUUUAGUUAAAAUUAUAAAAAAGGUGGCAUUUUAAGCUAUUUCCCAAGUUUAAAAUGGAUUGUCAGCGGAAAAAGGGAAAAAAAUUAUUAAAAUGGGUAAUUCCCUAAACUUUUAAUUUUAUUUUAAAUUAAAAAAUAUUAUUAAUUGCAUUCAUCCAAUUCUGAUAGUCAACUCACGGACUUAAUAAAAUAAAAAAUAUGCAUUUAAAUGAAUAAUGAAAUACUAAAUAACAGUUCAACAUAAACUACUAAGUUGAUACUAGAAUAUGAUUAUGUCGUAUAAACUCAUCUAUUUAUAUUAUAACACUUAAAUGAGUUAUAUUAUUUGACCGUAUUUCAAUAUUAUACAAGUCCAAGGGGCUGUGCAUAAUGUUUAACUAUUUAAAACUUACUUAUUAAUUUUAAAGAAAUCAUAAAAUUAAAAUAAUUAGAGUAAAAUUGGCAAUGUCUUUGACCUUUCUUAGGCUUUACCAAAUUAUUUUCAAUUUCUUCUUUUGCUUUCUUUUUUCUUUAAAUUACCUGAUUUGAUAGAGAGAAGAGGCCACAGAUGAAAAGCCCAACGUACCUCCAAAGGAGCCUGAGCCCAAAGCCCGCAGUUGCCCAGCAACGGUUGGGUUUUACCAGUCGGUCCCGCUCUAAACAAGAUAAGAUUUUCGUCAAAAAUAUGCUACAGUCUUCUGCUCCAACAGCUUCUUCAGAAAUUCCCUUAAAACUUCAUUCAUACUCGGGUUUUCUCUGAGCACUUCUGAGAGACGAAACCCAGAAAAGAAAUGCCUCAAACGCUUUUCUUAAAGCCCUUCAUUUCAGCUCCUUUGGAUAAUUGGAGGUUUGUUUUUCCUUCAUCCCCUUUUGCUAAACCCUGGUAAAACCCCUAAAAACCCAUACUUUCAUUUGAGCAUCUGUGUUCUAUUUCAGCUUCUGAGUUUGCAUUCUUUAUGCUCUGUUUGGUUACUUGUAUAAUUUGGGGGGAUAACAUUGAAUUUUUGAGGUUCAGGGCUGUAGCUUUUACUUUGAAAGUGAAGUGACAAUUAUUUUACUACAUUUUGUAGCUAAUGUUUUCUCUCGGCAGCCAAACAGGGGGUUGUGGUUAACUAAAUUUUCUGUUUUGAUUCAAAAUUCUGAAAGAUAUGAAUACAUGGUAUGAUUUUUCUUGAUGGGGUUGAAGGUGAAAUUGCUGUUUUUGUAUGCCUCUGGAGUAUGCUAUCAUUUUUGAAGACGUGCAACCGUAAAUUAUGAAUGUUUGAGUAUAAUUAGAUUAAUUUAUAUCUACCUAGUUGCAUUGUUGUGCAAUUGAAUUUCUCUGCAAUGUGGCCUUUGGCUUGCAUGCUCCACUGGACCUGGGAAAGUCGGGCUUUUGCAUAGAAAUGACUAGUCUGAGAACUCU
Molecule: long non-coding RNA, 51306 nt
Filed under: Prunus persica (peach)
Lineage: Eukaryota; Viridiplantae; Streptophyta; Magnoliopsida; Rosales; Rosaceae
Description: long non-coding RNA (PPER_LNC003768)
Source: RNAcentral